This 48607-nucleotide long non-coding RNA is filed under the name Triticum aestivum (bread wheat). RNAcentral describes it as "long non-coding RNA (TAES_LNC011980)". Lineage: Eukaryota; Viridiplantae; Streptophyta; Magnoliopsida; Poales; Poaceae. The record is from RNAcentral.
AUUUGCCCGACUUCAAGAAGGAUGAUCAGAAGGCCAUUGAUGCCGAGUUGAUGAAGGCUAUCGAUGCUGUCCCAGACCUUAAAAAUUAUCUUGGUGCCCGGUUCUCCCUCAGGGAUGGUGACAAGCCGCAUGAGAUGACCUUCUAAGUUACCUGGUACAAGUUUCAAGAUCUGUGGAAGUCUUUUUUGUCUAGUGUGUGUGCUGGUUCUGUACUUCUGAUUUCUUUUGCCCGGUUGGUGAAUCUUUGAUUUCCACUGAAGUCUGCCUGUCAAAUAUUUUGAGAAGAUUACUAGAAGUACCAUCCCCUUUAUUGGCCCGUUGCGACAUUUUCUUGAUCCGUCAUUGUAUUAUUCAGGCUGCAAUUCUGAGUAAAUGUUUUAUCUUCUGAUCAUUGUGCAUGACGCCAUUUUCUUGAUCCGUCGUCAUAUUAUUCAGGCUGCAAUUCGAGUAAAUGUUUUAUCUUCUUAUUAUUGUGCAUGACGCCAUUUUCUUGAUCCGUCGUCGUAUUCUUCAGGCUGCUAUCCGAGUAAAUGUUUUAUCUUCUGAUCAUUGUGCAUGACGCCAUGUCGAGUAUGUAUUUGCAAGUAGGUCAACAGUAUACGGUGGUCCUUAUUUGCAGAGCUUGGACAGUAUUAUGAUUUCGUUAUUACGUGUCAUUAGUCUGCAACAAUCCGUUCCCCUAAAAGUUCUCCAGCAGAUCUUGUAAACGUGAGUAAUUUCUGGUUUAGGGAAAGUUGGGCCAAAAAAGAGGUCCAACAGAUCUCGUAACUUAUUCUGGCAGAGUGCGUACAAUCUGCUCAACUUAUCAGCAAAAUGUCCAAGAUGAUACUCCCUCUGAUGUGAAAUAUGUUUUAUUGUUGUUCAAUCUUAGAGAUCAUAGCUAGAAAAGCAAGUUGGAGGAAGUAAAAAACAAGAGAACUUAAGGUGGUCUGAGGUCAAUUGACAAGCGCAAAGUGGCAAUCAAGCAGCACAAGGCGGCAAUCGAAGAAGAGAAGCCGAGUAGGAAUGAUGUGACGGUGGCCCGAUCUUUUGAUUAGAGUGGGGAUAACUAUCGAUUCUUUGAUGGUUAUUGAUCUUGUCGUAGGCACGAUCAUCUUGAACAACGAGGUUCGUGUUCCUGGAAGCAACCGAAGAACCGGCAAUAAUGAAAAAUUGAGCACAUAAAAUAGAUGAAAAGUUGUAGUUAUACUAUGGAUCUGACAAGGUGGUAGUCCUACACUGUAGAUGCGAAUUGUAAUGAUGGCUAGAUAAUAUAAUAAAAUCUAAAUCUAACCCUAACAACGAGCUAACUAUUUAUUAGUGGAGAUGGCCGCCGACGUAGACUCAUGAUGCAAUCAUGGCUGCCGUGGAACAUGCCCGUACGGAGACCUCCUUCACAACACUGCCUAGCCGAAUUGAUUUAUCGGCCUAAUGUUUGUUGCAUCCCACGUACAUGGCUGAUUGGUCUUGCAUCUUCCAACUCUAAGUGAGCCUCUCCCAUUAAGCAUGUACCCCUUCGUUUUUGAUGAUUUUAUUUUUCAAGUAUGCGUGCACACAUUUUUCGUAUCUCCAUCUUGCAUCUUUACACGUGGCUUGUACAACUCUCUAUUAACUUUGCACAAAAUAAAACAUUGCAUCGUAUUUCUAUUUGGAUAAACAAACUAACAAUUCAUAUAAUUAUUAAUAGAAGCCAUCUGUUAUUGUACAUGUGGACAAUAUGGUUGCUCGUAUCUGUAUAGGCCAUGUCCACAUCAUCCCCCUUUCUUAAAAACAAAGCCGUCCUUGGCGUGGCUUGAUCUGAAACAUGACUAAUAUAACAGAAAGGUGUACGUGCUGUAUAUGUAUAUGUCAUCCAUUUUAACUGUCCAAGAAUUUUGCACGAGUGACACAUUCAUACAUGAGUAAUUGAUAUGUCCUGUGAAAUCUAAUGCUACAAAAUUAUCACAAGAAACAAUUCAACAAAAAACAUUGCAACUCAGUUUGCACAUAUAAGUGAAGCUCGUAUUCAUAUCAUAUAAACUGCAGUGCCUAUUAUUAAGUCAUCCCAACAUAGGUAGAUAAUUAUUAGGCAUAUCCAAAUUAGCAUGUGUAUAUAAGCAGUCAUGCAAGAUGCUAUUCGACAUGUAAUCAACGAUGAUGUUGGAGGUCCUAUUGAAAUGAUCAAGCAUUGACUUAUUAAUAAUUUCUUUCAAGCUAGCAACAUCAUCACAUGUGAUGCAAAUUCUAUGCACCACAAAUUCAUUAUCUAUGCAUUCCUCACCAAUCAAGUUAAAAGUAAGAUUAAGUGCAUCAACACUUUUCAUGGAACUCAAACAUGUAAUUUCAACUAUGUUAUUUCUCUCAUGUGACGAAGCCAUAGGUGGAUCAAUCAAAACAGAAUACAAAGAAUUAGCAUGAGAAAUUCGAGCUAAUACUUCAUCAUGUUUAACCAAUUGUAUGUGAUCCAACCAGAUUUAGUUAGUAAGUCACAUGGUUCAUUAUCAAUGGCCUUUAAUUUAUUGGGUGCACUCAGAUGAAUGGAGGAGUCAAUUUUAGUAGUUGAUGCACGCAAAACAAUAGGUGUGUCAUUUGUUUGAUCACACAAGUUAUCCAAUGUAGCAACACAAUUAUCCAUCAUAAACUGCGUGAUCAAAACAGAUGGCAUUUCAUUCAACUCAACACAUGAAGCUUUUAAUUUAGCAUGACAUGGAACAAUCUCAUGUGGAAGUGUAGAUGCAAUACCUUUCUUAUUACCUUCGAUGGCUAACUCAGAAGAUGUAGGUAUUGUCAGUGGCAUCAUGCCACAAGCUGGGAGUGUUGUGGCUUUCGAUGCAUUGGGUCCAACAACCAUAUCAUUUUUUGCAUGAGAAGAAGUAACUGAAACAAAACUUCCUGUAGGGUACUGCACCUUGUGUUUCUUUAUCGCACACAUGUGUCUAUUAAUAUUUUGUUCAACUUUACAAGCAAGACAGAACAACCCAUUGAUUGAAUCAUAUUCUUUAUGCGCAAGUAUAUCAUAAAUAUCACGGUUUAAUCCCCUCAAGAAUCUAUUCAUGGUAGCUUGUUCACAUUCUUCUAUGCCACAACGAAACAAAGCAAUACACAAAUUAUGAUAAUAUUCUUCAACGGUGUCAUUGCCUUGUGCUAAAUGUUGCAAUUUUCUAAGCAAAUCACUAGCAUGGUAUGAAGGAACAAAUCGGUUUCGCAUGACAAGUUUGAAAGCUUUCCAAGUAGUAGGUCUAUUAUAAAUAUUUUCUUUGCAAUAAUUUCCCCACCAAACUGAAGCAAAAAAGACAAAAUAUUGAGUGACAUCAUUUAUUUUCUUCUGCUCAGAAAAAUCAUGGCUACCAAAUAUUUCUUCUACCUCAGUUUCCCAAUCAAUAUAUGAAUCGGUGUCACAUUUACCCUCAAAAUUUGGCAAAGAGGUAACAUGAUGAUGUGUGUUUCUACCAUGAUGUACAUCUUGUGACGGUCGUCGUACCGUUUGUUGCAGGAAAGAGUGAUUUGUAUCAACAUAUGGCAAGUCAUCUCCCACAAUAGACACAACCCAACUAUUGAUCACUCUAGAAUCUGCCAUGGUUAGUAACAAACAGAACAAGAUCACAAGUAUAUUGUUCCUAUAAUACUACUCGGAGGUGGUGGAAAUGUUGCUCAACUCUCUAGAAAUGACCAAGCUCUUACCCGUUCUUACCGCGCCGCAGUGGUUGUCGGCCAUUGGCGAUGUCAAAAGUUAUCGAAAGGUUGAUAUAGCGAUUACCAAGUGGCCGAACAAAGUGCAGUAUAGGAAGUGGAGCUUGGUGAUGAUUUCCUCAACUCACAAUAUCAGUGGCACAAUUAAGUAAAAAGUAAUGCAAGUUGAACAAUUGCUCAAACUCCUAACUAAUGCUGGUAGUCGACUAGUAAGAGAUAAAACAAUCUAAGCCCAGAUACUGAAACAAAUGAGUGAAACCGGGUGAAGAAAGGUAUGUGAUAAUCGAAGUAGCGAGGGACACACAUAUAUAUAACAAGGCUCCAACAGAUACAAAUGAUAUGAUGUGGUGGUUGGAGCAACAAGAUAAUGUCCAGAGUAUCAAUAAGAGAUUAGUCUCAACGGAUGUAAGCAACCUUGUUUUUUUUGAAAAAAUCUAUUUUUUUUGCUCUUUUUUGUGCUCUCCCCCCCUCUUUUUAGGUCGGCUGCUAGCAAAAUCAUGGACAGAAUUAAAGUCACAAGAGAGAGAGAGAUGCAAAGCUAUUGAACAAGUGCUACUGGAGCUAGCUAGAAGUGCAUUGGAGUUGAGAUUAGCCAGUAGUACUACUAGUGCAUAAUGCACAUGAACAACUGAAGGAGAUUUGUGUGCGUGGUACGUGUGGAGUCAGACAACCAACACGAGAUGUCUACUGGCUGGCGUGUUAGCCUAUGGUGAUGCGACACGGGGCAGCAGACACAAUGUGAUCGAUUGUCUGUCCGCUCGCGAAACGAAAAGCCUGUAUGGAUGGUCGAUGUACCUACAAGAAUUUGCAAUGGGAAUCAGUGCCUGGUAAUAACUAUAGCAAAGGAAAAUACAAACUUCCCGAGUCAACAGAAAUUGGAAUCCACCAAUCGCUAUAUGUCUUUUAUUUUGCGGACCGCGAACUAGCGCUGCGAUAGAGAAUAUGAGGGUGGACAAAAACAGAUUGAUCUAGUAGACAAUUUUCUCCCCGAACUAAUCUAAACCGGCACUAAUUCUAGGAUGAAUGCAACCAAAAAUUCAACUAUGCAAAUACUAGAUGCAAAAAUUGCUAAAGGCUAAAAAGAUAGGUGCAACGGAUUAACUAAUCUAUUUUUUUGGCUUUUUCGUGGGUUUAUAGGACAUACAAAUAAACUAAUCUAAUAAAACUGUAAAUCUCUCACCGAUGAACCCGAAAACUGAUACCACUUGAUGUGACGGCAGCCCGAUCUUUCGAUGAGAGUGGAGAUAACUAUCAAUUUGGUGGAUUUUGAAAACCAAUCUCCGAUGGUUAUUGACCUUGUCAUAGGCACGAUCAAUCUGAAAAACGAGGUUCGUGUUCCUACAAGCAACCGAAGAACUGGCAAGAACAAAGGUGAAUUACAAUCUGAAAUUGCAGAUGAAAAAUUGAGCACACAAAAUAGAUGAAAAGUUGGGGUUCCAUUGUGAUCUGACAAGGUGGUAGUCCUACACGUCUCGCAGAUGCGAAUUGUGUCGAUGGCUAGACAAUACAAUAAAACCCAAAUCUAACCCUAACAAUGAGCUAACUAUUUAUUAGUGGAGAUGGCCGCUGACGUAGACUCAUGAUGCAAUCGUGGCUGCCGUGGAACAUGCAGGAGCCAACCCGUACGGAGACCUUCACAGCACUGCCUAGCCGAAUUGAUUUAUUGGCACAAUGUUGCACCCCACGUACAUGGCUGAUUGGUCUUGUGGUCUUGUGCACUUGGACUUGGGGACGUUGCAUGCAUGAUGCAUGGUCUGGCAGGGAUUACAUGCAAUGAGUGAUACUUCUGCUGAGUUUAACGUGCAUGCAUCUCCAUCUUCCAACUCUAAGUGAGCCUCUCUCAUUAAGCAUGUAUCCCUUUGUUUCUGAUAAUUUUAUUUUUCAAGUACGCGUGCACUUUUUUCCGUAUCUCCAUCUUGCAUCUUUACACGUGGCUUGUACAACUCUUUAUUAACUCUGCGCAAAAUGAAACAUUGCGUCGUAUUUCUAUUUGGAUAAACAAAAUAACAAUUCAUAUAAUAAUUAAUGGAAACCACCCGAUUCUUGUACAUGUGGACAAUAUGGUUGCAAGUAUCUGUACAUGCCAUGUCCACAUCAUUUCAAUACUAGGAAAAGCCUCAUACGUAGAGGCUUAACAUGCACUAAUAUCUCCUUUUUAUUGAUCUGGUAUUGAAACUAAAAGGAGUAUCCCUGAUGCAGAGCAUCCCACUGUCAUCCUCAUGGACCAUCCUACAUCUCCCAGGACACCAUUUGGACCAAUGACAAGAGCUCGUGCAAAAGCUAUCAAAAACGAGGUUAACUCUCUCCUUGUUGAACUCCCCUUUGACCCACUUGAGACAUGGUUACUACCUCAAACGGAGAUGCUUUGUGUGCUUAGGUACCAAGGAAGCAACCAAGGAGAAGUUACGGUGCAAGUUGGACAUCAAGAGCAUGAAGAGAACCUGCCCAGCCCAAAAAUCCCGAUACAACCGCCCAUGUACCGCCCAACUACCGCCCGGGCGGUACAACCGCUCGACUACCGCCCAACCACCGGCCCAACUUCUGUGAUCAAGCAGUGCAAGGCCGGUACAACACUGGUUUCUCCCCGUAACAGCAAAAAGACCGGUACAACCGCUCCGAUCAUUGGUACAACCGCUACUCCCUUCCGCGAACACCUCCAGGAACCAGCACCUGAGCUCCCAGCGGUACAACCGCCCCCACCCCCCAUGACCAGUACUACCGCCCUGCCUACGCGCAGUGAAAGGGGUUUCACCCCAUGUAUCCCCCACUUACCCCUUGGACUAUAUAUACUUAUCCCCUAGCUCCGUAUUAGGGUUAGCAAUGGUUUAGCUCAUUUGUGAGAUAGAGCUUUGCUCAUCCAUCCGGAUCUACUCCAUCGAGAGAGACCGCGGCCUCUACGGAGAAGAUCCAUCAUUGAUUCAAGACCCCUCAUGGGAAGACCCACAAGACCUCCUCACGGAGAAGAACUUGCUACUUGUAUCGUCCCUUGUUUAUCAUGGAUCGUGUAUCUCUUUGUGUUUCGAGGAUCUAGCACAUGUGUAAUCGAAUCUUGUUGGUUUGAGUGAUUUCUCUCGUCGUGUUUUCCCUCAUGUUCUUCGUGUUCUUGGUAGGAUCCACUCCAAUCGUGAAAGAUUGGACAUCUAGGGUUCCACCCUACAUCAUCUUGGAUCAGAGCAAGGUUGAUCAUGAAUUUGGAGCCCCUACCCCCUUGUUUUCUAGCCUAGUUUUGUUGUGUUCUUCCCCACAUUCGAAAAUCCCCACCAAAAAUAGCCCCAAUUUUUUUUUGUGAUUUGUUGGUUUGAUGAAGUUUUGUUGGAUUUGAUCCGUGGAUUUGCUGUGUUGGAAGUGGAUCUACCUUCCCCGUAAGUUUCCCCACCUUCCAUCCACGAAAUCUUCACAGUUUUGCCCCCGAAAUCAUCCAUUUCCACCCCAAAGUCCACCCAAUAUCCAUAUCUAAAUUUUUUCCCGACAAUAGCAGUACAACCGGCAACCGAGGCGAUACAACUGCCCCCCAUCACCUAAUACUUCUGCCAGCCCAAAACGGGAACCCCAGGACGCUCCAGGAGCGGUACAACCGCCCACCCAAGCUGUACAACCGCCCCUCCCAGUUUCAGCCUCGGCUGAUUGACAAUUUUGACCAUAACUAAUUCCUACGGACUUGGAUUUUGACGUUCUUUAGCUUGUUUUGAAGCUAUUCACAUCACACAUACCACCAAAAUACUUCCAAAAUCAUUUAACUCCAUCAAAGUUUUGGAACUUUGGCAUCUUUGCCUAGGGCCUUCACCACAUCAUCCGCUAUACCACCACCAACUUCCACAACUUAACCCAUUUUGUUUCCCAUAGCAUUUGUGGUUGUUUGAGUUGUGAUUUGAGUCUCCUAAGGUGUUUCGGCUACUUAGGGACAGUUGCUUCUUCAUCAACCACCACCACCGCAUUCCGCUACCACCAUUUGACUUUGGUUUUGAGAAAUUUGAGUUGUGGUUCAUCAUUUCCUAGGGUGUUUAGGCUAACUAGGAACGGUUCGACAUCGACAUCACCACCGCUCAUAUUUGCCACAGACUCGUCAUCAACAACGACCAUUUCACCGUCAUCCAUCCUUGCUUACAAAUGGGUAAUCCUCGACUGUAACUUCCAUGACAUCUUUGUCUACUCCUUGCCAUUGCAUUGAUAACCCCAUAGACCAUUUUGCGUACCUUACCUAUCGAGACUAGCCAUUUGAGUAUUGUUGCCGGCAACGUUACUUGUGCACAUUAGUGAUCAUUGCUCCCAUUGCAUACACACCACAUCAUCUUGGUGUCCAUAUCUUGGUAUCAUCUUUUGUGUUACAAGGUUGUCAUCGCAUAUACACAAUUGCUAUCUUGGUUCGUGAAGUUUUGCAUAAGAGGCCAAAGAAAGAGCUCAAAAGAGAAAGAACCAAACAAGCUUUUAAGCAAAAAGGAAAAGAUAAGCAAAGAGCUUUUAUGCAAGAACCAUAGCAUCAUACAACAACAAGAUUGUCAUACUCGGUCAUCUUGGAUCAUAUCAUAGGAACACCUUACACAUAGCAUACUUGGGAUAGAAGUCGUUGCACUUUGCUAAGUAGGUUGUGCACAAGUCUCGUAUCCGCCUAUUGUGCAAUCAUGCUAGCGUCUCUCUAGAGUUGUGCAACAAGAGCAUUUUCCGUGGAUUCCACAUUUUCUGCUCAUUUUUGGUUUACACAACCCCACUUAUCUAUUUGCGUGUGUGUUUCUGUGUACCAAUACUUGCUUGGUCUACUUGUUACAUUUGCGAAUUUUCGAAUCUUUUUCAACAUCAUUGAGUCUCACUAACAAUUGCAUAAACUUUGUGCCACCAUCCUAACCGAGCUCCACCAUAAGCUUUUGCUUGUGUAGAUGUGAGAAUCGACAAGAAUUGGUAUCAAUUGUGCUAUUUCCUUGUUACACAUUUGAGUGAUCAUUGAUCCAUCUUCAACAUCAGUCAAGGUACAUUUGGUAUACAUUCUUCUCUUUCUCCCACUCACAUAUUUGCUUGGAAUGAUGGAUAGGCCAAGUUCUUCUAUGAACCCACUCUUCAUCAAGCAAGACGAUGACAUGACCUCCUACGCCACAAAGAGCCACCUCUUCGGUGCACAACGAGCUUUGCAUCAAGAACAACAAGCAAUGAGCGACCGCAUCGACAAUCUCGCGAUCGACUUGCGACUCUCCAAGCAACAUACAAGAGACUACUUCGACAACAAGCUCGACAAACACAAACAAGAGAACGAUGCAAGAAUGGACGAGAUUCAUGCCUUGUUGGUCAACCGCUCUUCUACCACUUCGUCCUACUCAAGACGGAGCCGCUCGAGUCGACACUCUGACGACACCCUCUCGGGCUCAAGUACACCGACACCAAACACUCUUCGACGAGCCACGCGACAAGACCAUCAAGCAAACCGCAAUCCUCUACACGGAACUGAUCCUCAAGAGCAACUUCUUGUGCAAGAACAUCGACAUCGUCAAAAUCAAGCUACCUUUGCGCAAGCACAAGAAAGGCAAUGCCAACGCCAACAAGAGGAAGAGCGAGCGCGCCAACACCAAGACGACCAAGAUGCCGAGGCUCAACGUCUUCAACAACAACGACAUGAAGCACAAGCACUUGAGGUGCAACGUGCCCUCCAAGACACAAGUCACGCCAUCGCCGCCCGCAACGGUCAAACGUGCGAGCAACUAGAAGCACUUAGCGAAGAAUUCCAAGAGAGGAACUAUCAAGCACGAUUGCAUCGACAAGUUCCACAAGCUCCUCUACAAGUCCCACAAGCUCGAUAAGAACAUCAAGUUCGUCAAGAGCAACAAGACAAUGGGAAUCCUCCACGACAAGAGAAACAUGAGGUUGACAACCCUCCAUGUCAAGGGUGUCAUCAUCCCCGACCCCAACACAAUGAAGAGCAACGCUACGACAAGCUCAAGUUCACCAUGCCCAAGUUCACCGUAAGCAAUGAUCCCUAAGAAUACCUAUCAUGGGCAUUGAAGGUCAACAAGAUCUUUUGUUUGCACAACUAUGAGGAAGAUAAGAAGAUCGCCAUGGCAUACCUUGAGUUCCAAGACUAUGUACUCAUAUGGUGGGAGCAAAUCAUCGAGCGCCAAGAAGCAAGAGGUGAACCACCAAUCAACACAUGGGAUCAAAUGAAGGAUGUCAUGAGAGCACGCUUUGUGCCAACAUACUACAACCGCGACCUCUUCAAGAAACUCCAACUCCUCAAGCAAGGAACAAAGAUCGUUGAAGAAUACUACAAAGAAAUGGAGAUUGCCAUGAUACGAGGCAAUGUCACGGAAGAUGAUGAGCAAACAAUGGCAUGUUUCUUGAACAGACUCAAUCAUCCUAUCAAGAAGAUCGCCGACUUCCAACCUUACUCAAACCUCAUCAAGCUAGUGCAUCAACCUACCAAGGCGGAAUAACAAGUGCAAGAUGACUUCAAGUACGCCAAGUACUCUUACAAGAGCUAUGGCUUCUCCAAUAACCAAGCUUCAAUGUCUCCUACCUCGACAAAAGCUUCACCAAGCAAUGGCGACAAGUCAAAUUACAAGAAGACUUCGACAACUUCAAGUCGUCCUCCUACUACAAGAAACUUCAAGACAAGAGCUUCAUCAUCUACUCCAACCGCAGAGACCAUCAAGACAAGUUCAAUCAAGUGUUUCACAUGCGGCGGCCGAGGCCACAAGUCCUUCGAGUUCACCAACAAACGCACCAUGAUCCUCAACAACGACAGAACUUAUGACUCCAUGAGUGAAGAGGAAAUGGAAGCCCUUGAGAAAGUGGCCAUGCACCACAAAGUGAACAAAGAUGAAGAUGAUCAAGUCUUUUGUGACGAAUAUUGGAGCUCCGCUCUUGUUGUCUCCAAGGUUUUGACUCUUCAACAUCAACAAGACAAAGACCAAAGAUGCCAUAUCUUCCACACCAAGGCGGUAUCAAUGGAAGGUCCGUGAAGGUCAUCAUCGAUGGAGGGAGUUGCCAUAACUUGGCGAGUGAAGAGCUAUGUUUCAAGCUCCAAUUGGUCAAGAUGAAGCACCCACACCCAUACAAGGUCCAAUGGCUAAGCGACUCUGGCACUAUCCAAGUCGAGCAUAUGGUGCAAGUUUCCUUCAAGAUAGGAGCAUAUGAAGACACAUUGGAAUGUGAUAUCAUUCCAAUGUCCGUUUGCCACCUCCUUCUCGGACAACCAUGGAAAUUUAACUAAGGCGUCAUCCACAAUGGGCGAACGAAUCACUAUAGCUUCGAGAUGAAGGGAAAGGAGUACGUGCUACGACCUAUGUCUCCAAGUCAAGUGAUCGCCGACAAGCAAGCCACCCAUCAUGGAGAGAAUAGUGAGUGAGCGAACCACCAAAAAGAGAGUGAGCACCACAAGCCAAAAUCGAGUGCCUCCAUGAUGAGCGAUAAGAAAAACUUAGUCCUAUUUGCUACCAAACGUGAUAUGAGAGAAGUGUGUGAGAACCCAUCAAGUGUUAUGCACUAUGUCCUGUUGUGCAAAGACGAGGCAACUACAACUAACACCUCACACAAUCUACCUUUAGUGUUGUCUUCUCUUUUGUAGGAAUUCCAAGACGUUUUCCCCGAUGAGCUACCUCCGGGACUACCACCUCUUAGAGGCAUCGAACACCGAAUCGACCUCAUCCCCGGAGCACCACUUCCUAACAAGGCACCCUACCACGUCAACCCCGAGGAAACCAAGGAGAUCCAAUGGCAAGUAUAACAACUCAUCGACAAUGGCCAUGUAUGAGAAAGCUUGAGCCCUUGUGCCGUACCGGUAAUCCUUGUUCCUAAGAAAUAUGGCACCUAUCGCAUGUGUUCCAGUUGUUGUCCCAUUAAUGCUAUCACCGUUAGAUAUCAUUAUCCCAUUCCAUGCCUAGAUGAUAUGCUAGAUGAGCUUAGCGGAGCCACCAUUUUCUCUAAAAUUGAUCUUAAGAGUGGCUAUUACCAAAUUCGCAUCCAAGAGGGUGACGAAUGGAAAACCGCUUUCAAGACCAAGUUUGGCUUAUAUGAAUGGUUGGUCAUGCCUAUGGGCUUAUCCGAAGCACCCUACACAUUUAUGCGAGUCAUGCAUUUUGUUCUUAGGCCAUACAUUGGUGUAUUUGUUGUGGUCUAUUUCGAUGAUAUCCUUGUCUUUAGCAAAUCCCUCAAAGAUCAUGUCACCCAUCUAAGAACCAUUUUGCAAACCCUUAGGAAAGAGCGCCUUUAUGCUAAUAUGGACAACUGCCUUUUCGGUGUUAAUAAGCUUGUUUUCUUGGGUUUUGUAGUAUCUUCUAAGGGUGUGCAUGUAGAUGAAUCUAAGAUCAAUGCUAUUAAGACUUGGCCACAACCAACCAACUUGCAACAAGUGCGAAGUUUCCUUGGACUAGUCGGUUUCUAUCAUAGAUUCGUUAAGGAUUUUAGCACAUUGUUUCUCCUUUACAUGCUUUGAGUAAGAAGAAUGCACCUUUUGUUUGGGGACCAUCCCAAGAUACCGCAUUCAAUGAGCUUACGAAUUUGCUUACACAUGCUCCUUUGCUUGCAUUACCAAACUUUGAUAAACCGUUUGAGAUACAUUGUGAUGCUAGUGGGUACGGCAUAGGAGGUGUCUUAAUGCAAGAGAAGCACCCCAUAGCUUACUUUAGUGAGAAACUUUCCGGAGCGCAACUCAAUUAUCCCAUAUAUGACAAAGAGCUUUAUGCUUUAGUGCGAGUUUUGCGUGACUGGGAACAUUAUCUUCGCCCUCAUGAAUUCAUCAUCCAUACCGACCAUCAAACUCUCAAGUAUCUUAAGGGUCAAACUAAGUUGAACAAGAGUCAUGCUAAGUGGAGUGAAUUCAUAGAGUCUCUUCCUUAUGUCAUCAAGUACCUUAAGGGUAAAGAAAAUGUUGUGGCAGAUGCGCUUUCCCGCAAAUGCAUGCUUGUUACUAAACUUGAAUUGAAUGUCAUUGGCUUUGAGCACAUAAAAGACCUGUAUGCGCAUGAUCCUACUUUUGCUAUUUCAUAUGCCAAAUGUUUGACACAUACAUCUUGGGAACGCUAUUACGUCAAGGAUGAUUAUCUUAUGAGAGCUAAAAAACUAUGUAUCCCUAAGUCUUCUCUUUGUUUGUUACUUUUGCAAGAGGCUCAUGGAGGAGGACUAAUGGGGCACUUUGGACGGGACAGGACAUUGGCCACGCUCUCCAAGAACUAAUUUUGGCGCGAGAUGUUCUGUGGCGUCUCACACUUCACCAAUCGAUGCUCGACAUGUCGCAAAGCUAAGUCAAAAGCUCAAUCCCAUGGUCUUUAUAUGCCCCUUCCAAUUCCAUAUCACCCAUGGGAAGAUAUUAGCAUGGAUUUUGUGCUUGGUUUGCCUAGAACUAGAAAUGGCAAAGAUUCCGUGUUUGUUGUUGUGGACCAAUUCUCUAAGAUGGCUCAUUUCAUCCCAUGCAACAAGAUAGACGAUGCUUCACAUAUUGCAAAUCUUUUUUGUAGGGAAAUCUUGCGUCUCCAUGGAGUGCCAAAGACGAUUGUCUUGGACCGCGAUGUCAAGUUCUUGAGUUACUUUUGGAAGACUCUAUGCGCCAAGCUCGGAAUCAAGAUCUUGUUUUCUUCGGCAUACCAUCCUCAAACUGACGGCCAGACAGAGGUGACGAACUGUACGCUCUCCACUCUACUACACGUGUUUAUCAAGAGGAACAUCAAGGAGUGGGAGGAGUGUCUACCCAUCGCUGAGUACGCCUACAACCAAGCAAGACAUUCAACUACCGGCAAGUCCCCCUUCGAGGUCAUCUAUGGUUUCAACCCGUUGUCCCCAUUGGACAUUCUCCCUUUACCGCUACAAGAGCGCAUCAACAUGGACGCGAGUGCACGAGUGACCUACCUCAAGAAGAUGCAUGAAGAUACAAGGCACACCAUCGAGCGCCAAGUACAACAACUCGCGACCAAGCUCAACAUCAACAAGCAACCAAUGAUAUUAAACAUUGGAGAUCUCGUGUGGCUACACCUUCGCAAGGAACACUUCCCCAAAGAACGCAAGUCCAAGCUUCUACCUCGAGCCGACGGACCAUUCAAGGUGCUAGCACGCUACAACAACAAUGCAUACAAGAUCGAUCUCCCAUGCGACAAGUACAACGUGAGCGACGUCUUCAACAUCUAGGAUCUCUCUCCCUACCAUGGUGAUGAGGCUUUCGAUCCGAGGUCGAAUCUUUCCCAAGGGGGGGGGGAUGGGAGAUGAUGCGGAGCAUCCCAUGGUCAUCCCCAUGGACCAUCCUACAUCUCCCAAGACACCACUUGGACCAACGACAAGAGCUCGUGAAAGAGCUAUCGAAAACGAGGUUAACUAUCUCCUUGUUGAACUCCCCUUAGACCCACUUGAGACAUGGUUACUACCUCAAAUGGAGAUGCUUUGUGUUCUUAGGUACCAAGGAAGCAACCAAGGAGAAGUUACAGUGCAAGUUGGACAUCAAGAGCAUGAAGAAAACCUGCCCAGCCCAGAAAUCCUGGUACAACCGCCCAUGUACCGCCCAACUAGCGCCCGAACGGUACAACCGCUCGACUACCGCCCAACCACCAGCCCAACUUUUGUGAUCGAGUGGUGCAAGGACGGUACAUCACUGAUUUAUCCCCGUAACAGCCAAAAGACCGCUACAACCGCUCUGACCACUGGUACAACUGCUACUCCCUUUCACGACCUCUGGGAACCAGCACCCGAGCUCCCAGCGGUACAACCGCCCCCAUGACCGAUACUACCGCCCUACCUGCACACAGUGGAAGGGGUUUCACUCCAUGUAUCCCCCACUUACCCCUUGGUCCCCUAGCUCCGUAUUAGGGUUAGCAAUGGUUUAGCUCAUUUGUGAGAUAGAGCUUUGCUCAUCCAUCCGGAUCUAUUCCAUCGAGAGAGACCGCGACCUCUACAGAGAAGAUCCAUCUUGGAUUCAAGGCCCCUCAUGAGAAGACCCUCAAGACCUCCUCAUGGAGAGGAACUUUCUGCUUGUGUCGUCCCUUGUUGAUCAUGGAUCGUGUAUCUCUUUGUGUUUCGAGGAUCUAGCACAUGUGUAAUUGAAUCUUGUUGGUUUGAGUGAUUUCUCUCCUCGUGUUUUCCCUCGCGUUCUUCAUGUUCUUGGUAGGAUCCGCUCCAAUCAUGAAAGUUCAGACAUCUAGGGUUCCACCCUACAUCAAUCCAGCAUCUAUUUUCCUAGAGGUGACCCUGGGUUAUUGAACCCAUGAGAGGAAGAUUCCCUUGAAGAAAUGGUCUCUAGCAAGCUUUUGCCAAAGUGUUAAAUCUAGCUUUUGACCAAAUCAACAAGCAAAUAGUGAUUCAAACACUUAUAAUAAAAAGAAGGUACAUGGAUGAGGUCUUAAUGCUACGUAUUGGUGUUGGGAUAAAAAAUGAUAUUAGUUUGUGCUCGGGAAGUCACCCAUUAAGAGGUGCUUGCUUCGUUUGGAAUGGGGGAUGUGUCCAAAUAACAUCCUGACCAUCAUGAGUCUUGUAUCAAGAACAGUUUUCCUACCGAAGGUCCUAUCUGUCUCACAGGGUUGCCCUGAUAAUUAAGAUAAUGAUGCCAUAAAAAAGCUUUGGACGUUCAAUGACUACACCUCAUGAAUCCCCAAGGUUAUGAUCCAUGUUACCCUACUAAACCUUACUAUCACUGGUGUUUAAUAUAACACUUCAUGGUCCCCUUGCUCCUAACCUCACUGGUGCUCGAUCUCCAUGAUCCUAGGUACCUGCAGAGAUGAAGAUCAUAGACAAGACAAGAGAUACUUCACGAUGCAAUUUUAUUUCACACAUACAAGACGUUGUUUCAAAGACUUCCAUUGAUCCCUUCACCAAAUACCUGGGGCUGCAAGGCUCAUGCCUCAUCCCAUACCUUACCGGACUACUCAUGGAGAUCAGAUCGCGAGAAGAAAUCAUUAAAGAACACAUCUUGAGAUUGAUUGAUUGUAAUAUGUCUUACAAUAGAUGCCUUGUGCGAUGCACAAUUACAAGUAUGAACUAUAUGAGAGAGGGCUAUGUGGUAGAGAUGGCUAUGGAGGGGAAAAUGGCGGCGACUAGGGUUUGUGGAUGGAUAUGAUGUCAAAUGGUUUGCAGUUGUGCUUGACGCUCCUCCUCUGCUCGUUCUAUUAACAUUUCGACGAGGCCCCCUUAAUAAAAGUUGUUUAGGUGGACGAGCUGCCUCGGUUUCUACAUCAAAUGAUUCUCAUGUGAGCAGUCGCAUGGAACAUCGUCUUUUGCUCUGCCUUCUGACGCCUCUUUAUGAUUUAUUUCUCCUCCAUUUUCCUACCUUUCCUUUCUCCCAUGUGAUAUCUUCCCUUUUUAGCCCAUUUCCCGUGGAAAAAAUAUUAAAGAUAGGAUUUGUGCAAUCCUUUGCAUUCAUUCAUCAUUAGUGGCAAUAUCAGAGCGAAUAUCUCUCUUUUAAUGAAAUGUCUCGGUUUAAACAAGGUUGAAAUGAGUGUAAAAGUAUCACUCAUUUACUACCCCAAGCUUAAACUUGAUGGUUCUCGAGCAACAUAGAGAGAAAUUCGAAUCAUAAGGAACUCAGUUGUUUAAACCGAAGUAACGAGAAGGUUUUAGUUCACUUACGAUCAUAUGCCUUGAUAGCCCUCUACUUCUUGACGUGAAAACUUAUCAUAGAUAUACCGGUGGCAUGGUUAUAGUGCAAGUGUUAGUGAAGUAAUGAUAAUCAACACAAAGUUUCUGACCUACUAGAUAAAACAACUUUGCAACACUUCAUUUCAUUUAAUCUAGACAAUACUUUCUUGCCGGGAAUGCAUGGAAGAAUUUCUUAAGAUAGAGCCAUGAAAACAUAAGUUAGGGAGUAGAAAGCAUGUACUAGAACAUGAUGCUCAAGUGCUCUUGAACACACUCACAAUUGUUUCCUCCUCUAGGCUCUUAAACACUUUGUUUCAAUCAUUGUUUGCUAGAACUUUGAUUGUCAUGUGAAGGAGAUUAUGCCAAAUAAGUGAUCAUGCAUAGGUUUUUGCUGUGGCUUAAUGUUUUGGGAACUAUGGACCUUUAGCAAGAAUGUCUCUUUCGAGCUCUUUUGACCAGUCCCCUUUAUUUACCACAUACACACCCAUUCAAGAGAAAGUCAAAUAAUAUCCGUUUGUAGUGUUGCCACUACGCACGGUAACAAACUCAUAGCCAAAAUCCGAGCUAGCGCUCUUGGUGGAUCGUUCAUUGGCUAGCGGAGUCCUCAGCAUAACAUCAAGAAGGGCGAAUAAGCCACAUUUGCAUAUGUAAACGCGCAUUUAGUAGCAAAGGCCAUGGUACCAUCCAGAAGCUAUAACACCAUGUUGAGAUAUACCACACAGAUUUUUGGCAUAAUCUCACCCACCUUUCAACUAAGUUCCUCUAGACAAUUUAAUCCGCAAGUGUUAUCGAGUCUAUUAAAAUUAACAACAUGGGGUUGAGCAUGUUUAAACAUCACUUCCCUAAAAUUUCUCAACUCCCAAGUCUUGAAAGACUUUCUCUUGUGCAAAGUUAUACUUGGUUAAUUUCAUUUCAUUUUCAAAACUGUCCCACAACAAGUCUUAGUUGUCUAAACUAAAGAAAAUAAAGGCUACACAAUUAUUUCAGCUACUAGAGCAAAACCUUUGUAUCAACUAUCAAGACUCACUCCCAUCGACACAUAUUACACAUACUACUACUAGUACAUCUACUCUAAGUAUCCAAGUGCAAAAGACGGGGGUCAUAGGACAUACCUGCACGAUUGCAAAUUUACACACGUCUCUCCUUUACUCUUGCAUUCCUCAUUGUCCUGGCAUAGAUCAACUCCGGAAAAAAUUGCAAAUGAACUCCAAGGGGCUAAAUAAGAACAAGAGCAAAGCAAAGCUUAUUGUAUUUGUUUGGUUUUUGGGUUUCUGAAAACUAACUUGCAACCGAAAAAUCACAAAGGCAAAAACAAAUCAAAAGCAAGUAAAAGCAAUAGUAAAUAAAAAGCAAAGUGUUGGAACAGACCAACACGAGUGUUUUGAAGCUCCUUGAGCUUAAGUACAACUUCCUUACAAUUUAUUCAAAUACUGCCACAUCUUGAUGUAGAAGUGGUGAUAAACUCCCCCAAGCUUAGGCUCUUGCAAUCCCAAACAAGCGAUUUCAUUGCGGCGGUUGGUAAGGAGCCCACUCUUGGCUCCAGUUGGAGAAGUUCAUGUUCAUGUAGGUGGACGUGCUCCUCGGGGAUGACACAUGGUUGCUCAUAUCAUCAAUAGAGACCUGAAGGUUGUUGAGGUCCAUGAAGGUGGUGUAGUCUUGCUGGGGUUGCUCUUCCUCUUCAUUAAUGGCGAGUUCUUCUUGCUCUACUUGUUCAUGUUUUGGCCCUUCUUGGUCAAAAGCUACAUCUCCUUCCUGUGCAACAUAAUGCAAUUGUCCAUUCUUGAUGGAGGAACGAUUAGGCAUAGGUGUGGGUAACAAGUACGCCACUCCAGGAAAUUGAUACAAUGGCGGCCAUUACAAACUACUACCACACCAGCGCUAGUAAGAGCAUGAAGGUUAACAAGGGUGUUACCGACAAUGGGGCGGAGAUGACUGUAGUCAAGGCCAAGGGAGUUGGCCAACAUGGUGACACUCCUCCACACACGAUAUCUCCUUGUACAUGAUUUUCUUGAUGCACGAGGUGUAGCAAAAGUAUUCCCCUAAGUUGGGCGAAUAACCGACGUCCAAGUUUGCUGCUUUCCCGAGAACUAGCAUGUUCUCAUCAUUCACCUUAGAAACUUCUCCUCGUGUCUGCAAGGAGUUAGUGAUAACAUAGUAGAAAUAACGUAUAGCAGGACAUUCAAUGCAACUGGCUCUUUGCUUUGAGCCACGACGACUCAUCGUAAGAAAGGAUUGCCUCAGGCGCGGGUCAGUGAAAUCAUAAACAUAUCUAAUAUCAACAUCAUUGUUGGGGAAGCCAAAAUAGUUGCACCACUCAACAAAAGUGAUGUUAAAGUCUUGGUCAAGGAGACGGAAAGUGAUCCUCUCCUCCUCCUACAUUUGGCACUAAUCCAACAUUGUGCGAGAGAGUACUAAGAAACUCAAGCGUCAAUCGUUCAUAGGUCUCACAUCCCUGAUAAACAAAAUGGUGCAACCCGACAUUAUGAAAAAUAAAAUUAAAAUCAUUAGUAAUACCUGGCUUGGCGAGAGUACUCGCACAAGCCCCUUUCGUUACUUUGAUCUUCCUUGUAGUGAGCUUUUGGAACUUCUACCUUGCUCCACGGUCGGUGAAGAUGAUCCCCUUAGUGAAAACUUGUUGCGGUUGCGCGAUGGAUGAACUCGCCUCACCGUGUAUGCGAGAAGACCUCCGUGUAAACAUCUACAAAACAACUUUUUAGUCCAACAUAAUGAAACAAUAACGAUCCUACGGUACUCACAUCCUCAUGCUCAACUAAAAACUUCAACAAAUCCACGCCAAACUCAUGUUUGAAUCAAAAAUAUGCAUCUCCUAGACAUGGCAAUGCUAGGCAGGUAGAACACGAAUUUGCAAAAAAUAAGUUGGGGAUCGGAGGAUAAAUAUACCGUAGAUCGAUCAUACGGUAAUAUUCGAACUGAACACGAACGAGUACAAAGACCGGGCGAAGUUUUACUAGGUUUUGGAGGAGGAAGAAGAAGAAAAGAGAGAGAUGGGGUUGAAAUAUGUCCUUCCUCAGGCUUAUUGGAGCCGCCGGCGUGCACAACGACCGCUCAUACGGGUGCAAGAGCCCGCCUAGAACGCUGUCUUUAACUCGGUUAAACUCACCUUUGCCUUCGUAGAUGAAAUGACCGCCGAAACAGGCGUCAGCAUCUGUUUCAAACGGCUCCGUUUGGUCUGUUCUUCUUGUACUUCUGGUCGAAGAUGUCAAACGACCGCUCAGACGGGCACUUGCGCCCCGUUUGGAACGCCGUCAAAUGCUCUGGACUCGUUCGUGGUUUCUUUAGAGAAUCAAGAUGACCACAAAAAGAGCAUGUGCGUGAUGGCUCGUGUCCACGUCAGUAUUUUCCCUGGAGAGGAAGGGAUGAUGCAACACAACUACAGUAGGUAUUUCCCUCAGUAAUGAAACCGAGGUUAUUGAACCAGUAGGAGAACCAUGCAACACUAUGUAAAUGAUACCUUCACACAAAGAACAAAUACUUGCAACCCGACGCGUAAGAGGGGUUGUCAAUCCCUACCGGGUAGAAGAUAGAUUGGUUUGUAGUAGAUCCGAUAAAUAGAUCUUGCUAAAACGCGAAAUAAAGUAAAUAACAAAAAAUACAACAAGUUUUUUUUGGGUUUUUAGAAUAAUAGAUCUGAAAAAUAAAUGUCGCAAAUAAUAGAUCGAAAAGCAAAUAUGAUAAAGAAUACACUCGGGGGCCAUAGAUUUCACUAGUGGGCUUCUCUCGAGAAAAAUAACAUACGGUGGGUAAACAAAUUACUAUUGGGCAAUUGAUAGAACUUCAAAUAAUUAUGACGAUAUCCAGUCAAUGAUCAUUAUAUAGCUAGGCAUCACAUCCAAUAUUAGUAGACCGACUCCUGCCCGCAUCUACUACUAUUACUCCACACACCGACCGCUAUCCAGCAUGCAUCUAGUGUAUUAAGUUCAUGAAAAAACAAAAUAAUGCAAUAAGAACGAUGACAUGAUGUAGACAAGAUCUAUUCAUGUAGGAAUAGACCCCAUCUUGUUAUCCUUAAUAGCAACAAUGCAUACAUGUCAAUUCCCCUUCUUUCACUGGGACUGAGCACCGUAAGAUCGAACCCAUCACAAAGCACCUCUUCCCAUGGCAAGAAAAAUUGAUCCAGUUGGCCUAACUAAGCCAAAUAUUCGAAGAAGAAAUACAAUGCUAUAAGUAAUCAUUCAUAUAAGAGAUCAAAACUUAAAUAACUUUCAUGGAUAAAAUAGAUCUGAUCAUAAACUCAAAGUUCAUCGGAUCCCAACAAACACACUGCAAAAAGAGUUACAUCAUAUAGAUCUCCAAGAGACCAUUGUAUUGAGAAUCAAAAGAGAGAUAGGAAGCCAUCUAGCUAUUGCCUACGGACCCAUAGGUCUACAAAGAACUACUCACACAUCAUCAGAGAGGCACCAAUGAGGAUGAUGAACCCCUCUAUGAUGGUGUUUAGAUUGGACCUGGUGGUUCUGGAACUUGCGGUGGCUAGAAUUGUAUUUUCGUCGACUCCCCUAGGGUUUUUGUAUUUUCAUGGUAUUUAUAGAGCAAAGAGGCGGUGUGGGAGGCCACCGAGGUGAGCACAAUCCACCUGGGUGCGUCUGGAGGCCCAAGCGCACCCAGGUGGGCUGUGCCACCAUCGGGGCACCCCUCUGGUACUUCGUUGGUCCAAGUUGUUCCUUCCGGUCUAGAAAAAUUCACCAAAAAGAUUCACUACGUUUGGACUCCGUUUGGUAUUGAUUUACUGCGAAGUAAAAAACAAGCAAAAACAACAACUGUCAUUGGGCACUAUGUCAAUAGAUUAGUCCCAAAAACUGAUAUAUAGUUGCUAUAAAAUGAUUGUAAAACAUCCAAUAAUGACAAUAUAACAACAUGGAAAAAGCAAAAAUUAUAGAUACGUCAUAUCAACAUCCCCAAGCUUAAUUCCUACUCGUCCUCGAGUAGGUAAAUGAUAAAAAUAGAAUUUUUGAUGUGGAAUGCUGCCUAACAUGCUCAUCACAUAUUUUUUCCUUUUGUAGCAUGGACGUCUUUCAAAAUAUCAACACUAAACCAAGUUAUCCCUAGCCCAUCAUGCUCAGUCAUUGAUUCAUUCAUGAGACACUCGCAUAUUAGCUACACCCAAUGUUCAAGUACAAUCAUAUUGCCCCUUAGUUGGUGCUUUAUAAGAGAAGAUGGAGACUCAAAAAAAUUGCAUAAACUAAAUAGAAAGGCCCUUCGCAGAGGGAAGUAAGGAUUUGUAGAGGUGCCAAAGAUCAAAGCAAAAAAAAUAGUGAUAAAACAUUUUGGGUGGCAUGCUUUUCCUGUCAAUGAAAAUGAUCGAGUAGUUCCCAAUACAUUCCAUGCUAGAUAUAUCAUAGGCGGUUCCCAAACAUAAAUUAAAGUUUAUCCUUUUUCCACCAUACUUUCACAUUCCACAGCUAGCUGUAUCCACGGGUUCCGUCCAUACCAACACUUUCCAAGGAAUUUAUUAUUUGACAACAUAAAGUAAAUUCACUUUUCAAUUCGGGACUCGGCAUCCCUAAUACCUUUGCCAUACUCUCGUGCAAUGACAAGUGAAUAAACACUCAUCUUGAGAAUAACACAUAUAGCAUGGAAUAUUAUCAGCCACUGUUUCAUGAGCGGUAUGAGCACACAAAAAGGAAUUUUAUUUUGAAAAUUAGAGAUGACACAUACAAAUUUGCUUAGAACGCAAGAGAAUACCACACAUAGGUAGGUAUGGUGGGCUCAUAUGGCAAAAUUGGGUUUAAGGAUUUUGGAUGCACAAGUAGUAUUCCCACUUAGUGAAAGGGAAGGCUAGCAAAAAGAUUGAGAAGCAUCCAACCAAGAAACGAAAAAUCACAUAAGUGUGCAUUAAGCAUAACUAACACCGAAUAAUGCACCACAAGUAGGAUGUAAUUUCAUUGCAUAAUUAUUGACUUUUGUUCUUGCAUAGGGAAUCACAAACCUUACACCAAUAUUCUUACUAAAGCAUAAUCUCACCAACAUGACUCACAUAUCACUAUCAUCAUAUUGGAAAAACUAUUAAAAAGAAUCAAGUGUAUUUUGUCCAAUGAUCUUCAUGAAAGUUUUGAAGGAAAUAUGCCCUAGAGGCAAUAAUAAAGUUAUUAUUUUAUUCCUUAUUCAUGAUAAAUGUUUAUUAUUCAUGCUAGAAUUGUAUUAACCGGAAACUUGAUACAUGUGUGAAUACAUAGACAAAACAAAGUGUCCCUAGUAUGCCUCUACUAGACUAGCUCGUUAAUCAAAGAUGGUUAAGUUUCCUGACCAUAGACAUGUGUGGUCAUUUGAUGAAUGGGAUCACAUCAUUAGAGAAUGAUGUGAUGGACAAGACCCAUCCGUUAGCUUAGCACUAUGAUCAUUUAGUUUAUUGCUAUUGCUUUCUUCAUGAAUUAUACAUGUUCCUAUUACUAUGAGAUUAUGCAACUCCCAAAUACGGGAGGAACACUUAGUGUGCUAUCAAACGUCACAAUGUAACUGGGUGAUUAUAAAGAUGCUGUACAGGUGUCUUCAAAGGUGUUUGUUGAGUUAGCACAGAUCAAGAUUAGGAUUUGUCACUCCGUGUUUCGGAGAGGUAUCUCUGGGCCCUCUCGAUAAUGCACAUCACUAUAAGCCUUGCAAGCAAUGUGACUAAUGAGUUAGUUACGGGAUGAUGCAUUACGGAACGAGUAAAGAGACUUGCCGAUAACGAGAUUGAACUAGGUAUGAUGAUACCGACAAUCGAAUCUUGGACAAGUAACAUACUGAUGACAAAGGGAACAACGUAUGUUGUUAUGCGGUUUGACCGCUAAAGAUAUUCGUAGAAUAUGUAGGAGCCAAUAUGAGCAUCCAGGUUCCGCUAUUGGUUAUUGACUGGAGAUGUGUCUCGGUCAUGUCUACAUAGUUCUCAAACCUGUACGGUCCGCACGCUUAACGUUAGAUGACGAUUUGUAUUAUGAGUUAUGUGAUUUGAUGUACCGAAGUUUGUUCGGAGUCCCGGAUGAGAUCACGGACAUGACGAGGAGUCUCAAAAUGGUCGAGACAUGAAGAUUUUCAUAUAUUGGAAGGUUACAUUCGGACACCAGAAUGGUUCGGGUCGUUUAGAUGAGUUUCGGAGUACGGGGGGUUACCAGAACCCCCCCGGGAAGUUAAUGGGCCUCAUGGGCCUAGUGGUGGAAGAGAGGAGGCCAACCAAGGAGUGGUGUACGCCCCUAGCGCAAACCGAAUUGGACUAGGGUUUGGGGGGCGGGCGCCCCCCUUUUCCUUCUCUCCUCCUCCUCCUUCCCUCCUUCUCCUACUAGGAAUAGGAAUAAGGAGGGGAAUCCUACUUGGACUGGGGAGUCCUAGUAGGAUUCCCCACACCUGGCGCGCCCCCUUGGGCCGGCCACCUGUUCCCUCCCCUCCUUUAUAUACGUGGCCAGGGGGCACCCCAUAUACACACAAGUUGAUAUUGUAUCCGUGUGCGGUGCCCCCCUCCACAGUUACACACCUCGGUCAUAUUGUUGUAGUGCUUAGGCGAAGCCCUGCGCUGGUAACUUCAUCAUCACCGUCGCCACGCUGUUGUGCUGAUCAAGAGUACGAGGGACGUCAUCGAUCUGAACGUGUGCUGAACACGGAGGUGCCGUACAUUCGGUGCUAGGAUCAGUCGGAUCAUGAAGACAUAUGCCUACAUCAACCGCAUUGAUAAAACGCUUCAGCUUUCGGUCUACGAGGGUACGUGGACACACUCUCCCCGCUCGUUGCUAUGCUUCUCCUAGAUAGAUCUUGUGUAAUUGUAUGAUUUUUUUUGAAAUUACCGCAUUCCCCAACAGUGGCAUCCGAGCCAGGUCUAUGCUUAGAUGUUAUAUGCACAAGUAGAACACAGAGAGUUGUGGGCAAUAAUAGUCAUACUGCUUACCAGCAACGUCUGACUUUGAUUUGGCAGUAUUGUUGGAUGAAGCGGCCUGGACCGACAUUACAUGACCGCGGUCAUGAGACUGGUUCUACCGACGUGCUACGCGCACAUGUGGCUAGCGGGUGUUUGUUUCUCCAACUUUAGUUUAACCGAGUUUGACUAUGCCCGGUCCUUGUUGAAGGUUAAAACAACACACUUGACGAAAAUCGUUGUGGUUUUGAUGCGUAGGUAAGAACGGUUCUUGCUAGAAGCCUGUAGCAGCCACGUAAAACUUGAAACAACAAAGUAGAUGACGUCUAACUUGUUUUUGCAGGGCUUGCUGUGAUGUGAUAUGGUCAAGGCAUGAUGAGAUAUAAAUUGUUGUAUGAGAUGAUCAUGUUUUGUAACAGUUAUCGGCAACUGGCAGGAGCCUUAUGGUUGUCGCUUUAUUGUAUGAAAUGCAAUCGCCAUGUAAUUGCUUUACUUUAUCACUAAGCGGUAGCGAUAGUCGUAGAAGCAAUAAUUGGCGAGAUGACAACGAUGCUUCGAUGGAGAUCAAGGUGUCAAGCCGGUGACGAUGGUGAUCAGGACGGUGCUUUGGAGAUGGAGAUCAAAGGCACAAGAUGAUGACAGCCAUAUCAUAUCACUUAUUUGAUUGCAUGUGAUGUUUAUCCUUUAUGCAUCUUAUUUGCUUAGUAUGACGGUAGCAUUAAAAGAUGAUCUCUCACUAAAUUUCAAGGUAUAGGUAUUCUCCCUGAGUAUGAACUGUUGCUAGAGUUCUUCAUGCUGAGACACCACGUGAUGACCGGGUGUGAUAAGCUCAACGUUCACAUACAACGGGUGUAAGCUAGUUUUGCACACGUAGAAUACUCGGGUUAAACUUGACGAGCCUAGCAUAUGCAGAUAUGGCCUCGGAACACUCAGACCGAAAGGUCGAGCGUGAAUCAUAUAGUAGAUAUGAUCAACAUAGUGAUUUUCACCAUUGAAAACUACUCCAUCUCAUGUGAUGAUCUGACAUGGUUUAGUUGAUUUGGAUCACGUGAUCAUUUAGAUGACUAGAGGGAUGUCUAUCUAAGUGGGAGUUCUUAAGUAAUAUGAUUAAUUGAACCUUAAUUUAUCAUGAACUUAGUCCUGAUAGUAUUUGCAUAUCUAUGUUGUAGAUCAAUAGCUUGCGUAUAGCUCCCCUGUUUUAUUUUUGAUAUGUUCCUAGAGAAAACUAAGUUGAAAGAUGAUAGUAGCAAUGAUGCGGACUAGGUCCAUGAUCUGAGGAUUAUCCUCAUUGCUGCACAGAAGUAUUAUGUCCUUGAUGCACCGCUAGGUGACAUACCUAUUGCAGGAGUAUAUGCAAAUGUUGUGAACAUUUGGCAAGCUUGAUAUGAUAGCUACUUGAUAGUCUAGUGUACCAUGCUUUAUGGCUUAGAACCGGGACUUCAAAAAUGUUUUGAACGCCACGGAGCAUAUGAUAUGUUCCAAGAGUUGAAAUUGGUAUUUCAGACUCAUGCCCGUGUUAAGAGGUAUGAGACCUCUGACAAAGCACUUUGCCUACAAGAUGGAGGAGAAUAGCUCAGCUAGUGAGCAUGUGCUCAGAAUGUCUGAGUACUACAAUCGCUUGAAUCAAGUGGGAGUUAAUCUUCCUGAUAAGAUAGUGACUAACAGAGUUCUCUAGUCACUAUCACCAAGUUACUAGAACUUAGUGAUGAACUAUAAUAUGUGAGGGAUGAAGAAAAUGAUUCCCGAGCUCUUCGCGAUGCUGAAAUUGGCGAAGGUAGAAAUCAAGAAAAAGCAUCAAUUGUUGAUGGUUAACAAGAUCACUAGUUUCAAGAAAAGGGCAAAGGAAAAGAAAGGGAACUUCAAGAAGAAUGGCAAGCAAGUUGUCACUCCCAUGAAGAAGCCCAAAGCUAGACCUAAGCCUGAAACUGAGUGCUUCUACUGCAAAGGGAAUGGUCACUAGAAGCGGAACUGCCCCAAAUAUUUGGCGGAUAAGAAGGAUGGCAAAGUGAACAAAGGUAUAUUUGAUAUACAGAUUAUUGAUGUGUACUUUACUAGUGUUCAUAGAAACCCCUGGAUAUUUGAUACAGGUUCAGUUGCUAAAAUUAGUAACACGAAACGGGAGUUGCAGAAUGAACAGAGACUAGUUAAGGGUGAGUGACGAUGUGUGUUGAAAGUGGUUCCAAGAUUGAUAUGAUCAUCAUCGCACACUCCCUAUACUUCCGGGAUUAGUGUUGAACCAAAAUAAAUGUUAUUUGGUGUUUGUGUUGAGCAUGAAUAUGAUUUGAUCAUGUUUAUUGCAAUAUGGUUAUUCAUUUAAAGUCAGAGAAUAAUUGUUGUUCUGUUUACAUGAAUAAAACCUUCGAUGGUCAUACAACCAAUGAAAAUAGUUUGUUGGAUCUCGAUCGUGUGAUACACAUAUUCAUAAUAUUGAUGCCAAAGGAUACAAAGUUGAUAAUAAUAGUGCAACAUAUUUGUGGCACUGCCGUUUAGGUCAUAUUGGUGUAAAGCGCAUGAAGAAACACCAUGCUAAUGGGCUUUUGGAAUCACCUGAUUAUGAAUCACUUGAUGCUUGCGAACCAUGCCUCAUGGGCAAGAUGGCUAAGACUUCAUUCUUCGGAACAAUGGAGCGAGCAACUGACUUAUUGGAAAUAAUACAUACUGAUGUAUGCGGUCCGAUAAGUGUUGAGGCUCGCGGCGGGUAUCAUUAUUUUUUGACCUUCAUAGAUGAUUUGAGCAGAUAUGGGUAUAUCUACUUAAUGAAACAUAAGUUUGAAACAUUUGAAAAGUUCACAGAAUUUCAGAGUGAAGUGGAAAAUCAUCGUAACAAGAAAAUAAAGUUUCUAUGAUCUGAUCGUGGAGGGGAAUAUUUGAGUUACGAGUUUGGCCUUCAUUUGAAACAAUGUGGAAUAGUUUCGCAAUUCACGCCACCUGGAACAGCAUAGCGUAAUGGUGUGUCCGAACAUCGUAACCGCACUUUAUUAGAUAUGGCGCGAUCUAUGAUGUCUCUUACUGAUUUACCGCUAUUGUUUUGGGGCUAUGCUUUAGAGACGGCUACAUUCACGUUAAAUAGGGUACCAUCUAAAUCCAUUGAGGCGACACCUUAUGAACUGUGGUUUGGCAAGAAACACAAGUUGUCGUUUCUUAAAGUCUGGGGCUGCGAUGCUUAUGUGAAAAAGCUUCAACCUGAUAAGCUCGAACCCAAAUCAGAGAAAUGUGUCUUCAUAGGAUACCCAAAGGAGACAGUUGGGUACACCUUCUACAACAGAUCCGAAGGCAAGAUAUUCGUUGCUAAGAAUGGAUCCUUUCCAGAGAAGGAGUUUCCCUCGAAAGAAGUGAGUGGGAGGAAAGUAGAACUUGAUGAGGUAAUUGUACCUUCUCCCGAAUUGGAAAGUAGUUCAUCACAGAAAAUAGUUCCAGUGAUUCCUACACCAAUUAGCGAGGAAACUAAUGAUGAUGAUCAUGAAACUUCAGACCAAGUUACUACUGAACCUCGUAGGUCAACCAGAGUAAGAUCCGCACCAGAGUGGUACGGUAAUCCUGUUCUGGACGUCAUGUUACUAGACCAUAACGAACCUAUGAACUAUGAGGAAACGAUGACGAACCCAGAUUCCGCGAAAUGGCUUGAGGCCAUGAAAUCUGAGAUGGGAUCCAUGUGUGAGAACAAAGUGUGGACUUUGGUUGACUUGCCUGAUGAUCGGCAAGCCAUCGAGAAUAAAUGGAUCUUCAAGAAGAAGGCUGACGCUGACGGCAAUGUUACUGUCUACAAAGCUUGACUUGUUGCGAAAGGUUUUUGACAAGUUCAAGGAGUUGACUAUGAUGGGACUUUCUCACCCAUAGCGAUGCUUAAGUCUGUCCGAAUCAUGUUAGCAAUUGCCGCAUUUUAUGAUUAUGAAAUUUGGUAAAUGGAAGCCAAAACUGCAUUCCUGAAUGGAUUUCUGGAAGAAGAGUUGUAUAUGAUGCAACCAGAAGGUUUUAUCGAUCCAAAUGAUGCUAACAAAGUGUGCAAGCUCCAUCGAUCCAUUUAUGGACUGGUGCAAGCCUCUCGGAUUUGGAAUAAAUGUUUUUAUAGUGUGAUCAAAGCAUAUGGUUUUAUACAGACUUUUGGAGAAGCCUGUAUUUACAAGAAAGUGAAAGGGCGCCCUGUAGCAUUUCUAAUAUUAUAUGUGGAUGACAUAUUGUUGAUUGGAAAUGAUACAUUAUUUCUGGAAAGCAUAAAAGGAUACUUGAAUAAGAAUUUUUCAAUGAAGGACCUCGGUGAAGCUGCUUAUAUAUUGGGCAUCAAGAUCUAUAGAGCUAGAUCAAGACGCUUAAUUGGACUUUCACAAAGCAUAUACCUUGAUAAGAUUUUGAAGAAGUUCAAAAUGGACUAGUCAAAGAAAGGGUUCUUGCCUAUGUUACAAGGUGUGAAGUUGAGUGCGACUCAAUGUCCGACCACUACAGAAGAUAGAGAGAAAAUGAAAGUCAUUCCCUAUGCUUCAGCCAUAGGUUCUAUCAUGUAUGCAAUGCCGUGUACCAGACUUGAUGUGUACCUUGCUAUAAGUAUAGUAGGGAGGUACCAAAGAACAUCCUGAAAUACCUGAAAAGGACUAAGGAUAUAUUUCUAAGUUAUGGAGGUGAUAAAAGAGUUCGUCGUAAAGAGUUACGUCGAUGCAAGCUUUGACACCAAUCUGGAUGACUUUGAGUCUCGAUCUGGAUACAUAUUGAAAGUAGGAGCAAUUAGCUAGAGUAGCUCCGUGCAGAGCAUUGUAGACAUAGAAAUUUGCAAAAUACAUAUGGAUCUGAAUGUGGCAGACCCGUAGACUAAAACUUCUCUCACAAGAAAAACAUGAUUACACCUUAUUACUCUUGGGUGUAAAUCACAUAGCGAUGUGUACUAGAUUAUUGACUCUAGUAGAACCCUUUGAGUAUUGGUCACAUGGCGAUGUGAACUAUGGGUAAAGAUAUGUACUAUUGGUGUUAAAUCACAUGGCGAUGUGAACUAGAUUAUUGACUCUGGUGCAAGUGGGAGGCUGAAGGAAAUAUGCCCUAGAGGCAAUAAUAAGUUAUUAUUUUACUUCCUUAUAUCAUGAUAAAUGUUUAUAUUCAUGCUAGAAUUGUAUUAACCGGAAACUUGAUACAUGUGUGAAUGCAUAGAGAAAACAAAGUGUCCCUAGUAUGCCUCUACUAGACUAGCUCGUUAAUCAAAGGUGGUUAAGUUUCCUGGCCAUAGACAUGUGUUGUCAUUUGAUGAACGGGAUCACAUCAUUAGAGAAUGAUGUGAUGGACAAGACCCAUCCGUUAGCUUAGCACUAUGAUGGUUUAGUUUAUUUCUAUUGCUUUCUUCAUGACUUAUACAUGUUCCUAUGACUAUGCGAUUAUGCAACUCUCGAAUACCGGAGGAACACUUAGUGUGCUAUCAAAUGUCACAACGUAACUGGGUGAUUAUAAAGAUGCUCUACACGUGUCUGUGAUGGUGUUUGUUGAGUUGGCAUAGAUCGAGAUUAGGAUUUGUCACUCCGUGUUUCGGAGAGGUAUCUCUGGGCCCUCUCGGUAAUGCACAUCACUAUAAGCCUUGCAAGCAAUGUGACUAAUGAGUUAGUUACGAGAUGAUGCAUUAAGAAACGAGUAAAGAGACUUGCUGGUAUCAAGGACGAAUCUAUACCAAGUAGUGACGCCCACAUAAAAACAAUGAAGAAGAACAACAGUAGAUUGCUUACGAAUAGAUCUAUUAUGUGCAUUGCAAAUCCUAUACCAAGCAUAUUUUAGAUUCUUGCCUUCCCUUUGUUUGAAAUUAAGAACCUCGUUCUCGGGGGUGCACGCAAUAGAGGAAGAACUAUCCAUAACGAUAAAAAGUGGCAAACACAAUUGCACACAAAAACAGAUCUGACGAGAAAACGACGAAUGAAAAAGAGGGCGAACAAAAUGGCAAAUUUUUGUGAAGUGGGGGAGAUGAAAAUGAGAGGCAAAUGGCAAAUAAUGUAAAUUGCAAGGAGAUGAUAUUUGUGAUUAGGAACCUGAUAGAUGUUGAUGAUGUCUCCCUGGCAACGGCGCCAGAAAUCCUUUCUUGGUGGCUCGUGUCCGCGUCAGUAUUUUCCCUGAAGAGGAAGGGAUGAUGCAGCACAGCUAUGGUAGGUAUUUCCCUCAGUGAUGAUACCAAGGUUGUCGAACCAGUAGGAGAACCACGCAACACUAUGUAAAAAUACCUGCACACAAAGAACAAAUACUUGCAACCCGACGCGUAAGAGGGGUUGUCAAUCCCUCCCGGGUAAAAGAUAGAUUGCUUUGUAGUAGAUUGGAUAAAUAGAUCCCGCGGAAACACAAAAUAAAAUAAAUAACAAAAAUUGCAGCAAGGUAUUUUUGGGUUUUUAGAAUAAUAGAUCUGAAAAUAAAAGUGGCAAAUAAUAGAUCAGAAAGCAAAUAUGAUAAAGAAUAGAAUAGACCAUGGGGACGUAGAUUUCACUAGUGGCUUCUAUCAAAAAAAAUAGUAUACGAUGGGUAAACAAAUUACUGUUGGGCAAUUGGUAGAACUUCAAAUAAUUAUGACGAUAUCCAGGCAAUGAUCAUUAUAUAGGCAUCACGUACAAGAAUAGUAGACCGACUCCUGCCCACAUCUACUACUAUUACUGCACACAUCGACCGCUAUCCAACAUGCAUCUAGUGUAUUAAGUUCAUGGAAAAACAAGGUAAUGCAAUAAGAAUGAUGACAUGAUGUAGACAAGAUCUAUUCAUGUAGGAAUAGAACCCAUCUUGUUAUCCUUAACAACAACGAUACAUACGUGCCAUGUCCCCUUCUGUCACUGGGAUUGAGCACCGUAAGAUCGAACCCAUCACAAAGCACCUCUUCCCAUGGCAAGAAAAAUCGAUCUAGUUGGCCUAACUAAACCAAAGAUUCGAAGAAUAAAUAUGAGGAUAUAAGUAAUCAUGCAUAUAAGAGAUCAAAACUCAAAUAACUUUCAUGGAUAAAAUAGAUCUGAUCAUAAACUCAAAGUUCAUCGGAUCCCAACAAACACACCGCAAAAAGAGUUACAUAAAUAGAUCUCCAAGGGACCAUUGUUGAGAAUCAAAAGAGAGAGAGGAAGCCAUCUAGCUACUGCCUACGAACCCGUAGGUCCACAAUGAACUACUCACGCAUCAACAGAGAGCACCAAUGAGGAUGAUGAACCCCUCCGUGAUGGUGUUUAGAUUGGAUCUGGUGGUUCUGGAACUUGCGGCGGCUGGAAUUGUGUUUUCAUCGACUCCCCUAGGGUUUUUGGAUUUUCGAGGUAUUUAUAGAGCAAAGAAGCGACGCGGGAGGCCACCGAGGUGGGCACAACCCACUAGGGUGCGCCUGGGCCCCCAGGCGCACCCAGGUGGGUUGUGCCCCCUCGAGGCUCCCCUCUGGUACUUCUUUGGCCCAAGUUGUUCCUUCUGGUCUAGAAAAAUUCUCCAAAACGUGUAGCUACGUUUGGACUCCGUUUGGUAUUGAUUUUCUGCAAAGUAAAAAACAAGCAAAAACAACAACCGACACUGGCACUAUGUCAAUAGGUAGUCUCAAAUAAUGAUAUAAAGUUGCUGUAAAAUGAUUGUAAAACAUCCAAGAAUGAUAAUAUAACAACAUGGAACAAGAAAAAAUUAUAGAUACAUUGGAGAUGUAUCAGUGCACCAGUUUGAAACACCGUCCUUCACUCUGUUGUCUCUGUUGUUUUGCGCUUGAACCUCCUGUAGGUCAAACGACCACCCACGCAACUGCUACGGUCGCAGAAAGGGCAUCUUCUAGUAUUUUUCUUCCAAAACUUGUAUUUUUAUUCGUUUUCCCGUGGUGUUAGUUCCAUAGCAAUACAUAGACACAUAACCAGGCAUUCAAACAUCAAUCUAGCAUAUAAAUUAUCUUGCACAAGGCUAAGCCUUCAUUAGAACAACUCUUCCAAACUCACUUCUUCACAUGGAAUUUCAUUCACUCUUUUAUUUAAAACAAAACAAAAACUUACUUGUGUACUUUGUUCAUGUGGGCGACCUCCAAUGAAGCUUUUGUUUCCAGUCGGAUAGCUCGACCGUAGUGGUGGUCAAGGUGGUGCUAGAACACCGAGACCAUAGCUUCUGGCAUUCAAAAUGAUGCCUUCUCCUGUGUAGGUCUUCAAUUUCUUUUUCCUGGGGAAAUGCCUUCUAAAGGGAUCUUUAGCUGUUAAAUCAAAACGAACAUUUCCCUCAAACACAUUUAUCACAACUUUGAUAGUCCUUACAAAAGGUCUACUGAGGAUUAUAGGAGCAAUUGGAUCUUCAGGCAUAUCUACUAUAACGAGAUCAAUCAUGACCGGGCAAUCAUUAAUUUGAACUAUAACUCCAUGCUUAAUGCCUACUGCCUGAGUAAAAGUAGAAUUAUCCAUAUUAAUAUAAUCGCAGUACUAGCAUAAGGACAAGACUAAGACUAUCAUAAACAGAUUUGGGGAUAGUGGAAACACUUGCCCCUAGAUCAGAUAAAGCACUGAACUUAUUAUGUUCUAUCUCAAUAUCUAUGGUUGGUUCAAAAGCAUCCUCUUGCUUAGCUGGUAACUUACUGAAUAACUUUUUUCUUUCAUCAUGAAGUUCAUGUACCUUGGCUGCAACGUGUUCAACAAAGACAUUAUAUGCCUCAUUGUUAGUUACCCAUGGUAGUGGAUACUUCAUGUAUAUAAUUUUGACAAAUCUGCAACGGUAUAAUUGUACACUGGCACAUGACUUCUGUUAAGUACAUCAUCUUUUUCUUCCUUGCUUCUUACCAUUUUAACUUCUUCAACCGUGUUAGGAUCUGGUUUCCCUAUAAACUCAGCCAAAAUCAAGGUUUGGCUCUCUGCUAUCUUUGCCACUUGUGCCUCCAUAUUCUUGGAUCUGGCUUCAAGUAUCUACACAUCAUUUGUUAGUCCAACAACCUUACCAAAAUUGACCGAGUAAGUUAUCAUGAUUCUUCAAGAUAUUCUUGAAGUUUUAUUCUGCUUAGCCUGGCUAGCAAUAAAACUUUUAAGAGUUUCUUCAAGAGUAUAUCUAUUGCUACCAUUAGCUCCAUUAGAAUUAUUUGAUCCUCCUCCAUUAUUAGGAUAGGGAAUUUUAGGAACAUAACUAUUAUUUUUCCAGUUGGGAUUUAGCUAUUACGAGCAAUAAAAUUAACAUCACUAAUAUCUUCACAAGUGAUGACAUUGACAUUUACCUCCUCUUUACCUUUCAUCAAAGAGAUAAGUUCUUCUAGAUUGGUUGUUAUCUGAGCUAUUUUUCUCUAUGACAUUCACCUGCUUGGUCACUAGAGGCAGGCAAAGUCCUAUUAUUUUUCUUCUUCUUUUUCUUUUUUAGAAGGACUAGGUGCAUCCGUGUUAAUUCUUUGAGAGUCUUGUUCAAUUCUCUUUGGGUGUACCUUAGGUUAAAGUGGUUUCUGAGUCAUUUUACCUCCUCUAGUUGCUACUCUAACAGCAAAGUCACUUAUAUUAUUGUUCAUUUCAUCAAACAACUCUCUUUGAGAUUUAGCAAUUUGUUCUAAUUGAGUUUGAAACAUAGAGGCAUGCUUUCCUACACCUCUAACAUCAUUUGAGAUUCUAAAUAACAAGUCACUUAAGAGAGCAAUCAUAUCGGAGUUGUAUUUGAAUUGUUUCAUAACAUUUGCAUUGAAGUGAUCUUACUUUCUAAUGUAAUUAUCAAACUCAUAAAGGCAUCAACUAUGAUGUUCAUUAUAAGGAUUAUCACUAUCAUUAAAUUUCAUUAAAUAAUUGACAUCUACCACCUAAGGUGGUGGUGGUGUAUCAAGCCCAUGUAUUUCUUCAAUAGGUGGUAAAUUUUUAACAUCCUUUGCUUUAAUAUCUUUUUCCUUCAUAGAUUUAUGUGCCUCUUGCAUAUCUUCAGGACUGAGAUAUAAAUUACCCUCUUCUUUGGAGUGGGUUUUGGCGGUGUUUCAGGAGGAGUCCAAUCAUCAUAAUUUUUCAAUAUGUUAUUCAAUAAUUCUUCAGCUUGCUCAAUAGUUCGUUCCCUGAAAAUACAACCAGCACAACUAUCUAGGAAAUCUCUAGAAGCAUUGGUUAGUCCAUUAUAGAAGAUAUCAAGUAUUUCAUUUUUCUUAAGAGGAUGAUCAGGAAAAGAAUUAAGCAAUUGGAGAAGCCUCUCCCAAGCUUGUGGGAGACUCUCUUAUUCAAUUUGCACAAAGAUUAAUAUUUCCUACAAGGCAGGUUGUUUCUUAUGAGCAUGGAAAUAUUUUUCAGAGAAGUAAUAAAUCAUAUCCUGGGGACUACGCACACAACCAGGAGCAAGAGUAUUGUACCAAGCUUUAGCAUCACCCUUUAAUGAGAAUGAAAAUAAUUUGAGGAUAUAGUAACAGCGAAUCUUUUCAUCGUGAGCAAAAAGGGUGGCUAUGUCAUUCAACUUAGUAAGAUGCGACACAACAGUUUCAGUUUCAUAACCAUGGAAAGGAUCAAAUUCAACCAAAGUAAUUAACUCUGGGUUGACAGAGAAAUCAUAAUCCUUAUCAUCAAUAAAGAUAGGUGAAGUGGCAAACUUAGGAUCACAUUUCAUUCUAGCAUUCAAAGAUCUUUCUUUAUACUUGCAUAAUAAUUUUUCUAGAUCAUCUCUAUCCUUACAAGCAAGAAUAUCUCUAGUUGCCUCCUCACCUAUAACAUAACCUUCCGGUACCUUUGGCAAUUCAUAUCUAGGAGGGCUAGUUCUAAUAGGUGUUUCAAGUUUUCAUUUUCAAGCUCAUCAUCAGUUUCAACAAUAUCAUCUGUCUUACUCUAGUAAUUUGUUCAUCAAGAAAUUCACCUAGUGGCACAUUAUCAUCAAGCAAGGUACUAGCAUCAUCAUGAGUAACAUUCAUAGCGGAAGUAGCAUCAUCAAUAACUUGCGACAUAUCAGAAUUAAUAGUAUAUGGUGGUGUUGCAAGUUUACUUAUAACAGAAGGUGAAUCUAAAGCGGAGCUGGAUGGUAGUUCCUUACCUCCCCUCGUCUUAGAGGGAAAAUUUUUAGUCUUAGCAUCCUUCAGAUUCUUCAUAGUGAUAAUUUGAUAAUAAUCCCAAGUGAUCAACAAAUAUAGCUAUGCUCCCUGGCAACAGCGCCAGAAAAAGGUCUUGAUAACCCACAAGUAUAUGCGAUCGCAAUAGUUUUCGAGGGUAGAGUAUUCAACCCAAGUUUAUAGAUUCGACACAAGGGGAGCCAAAGAAUCCUUGCAAGUAUUAGCAGCUGAGUUGUCAAUUCAACCACACCUAGAGAUUAAUUAUCUACAGCAACGUGAUCAGUAGCAAAGUAGUAUGGUAUUUUUGAUAGUAGUAGCCACAACAAUAGUAACAGUAACAAUGAUAGCAGUAGUUUUGUAGCAAGUGCAAUAGUAACAAUAGCAAUAGUAACUUAGGAAGAUCAACAUGUAGGAAAAUGGUAGGCAUUGGAUCGGUGAUUCGUUGGAUGAUAUUCAUCAUGAGACAUUCAUAACCUAGGGUAAUAUGGCACUAGCUCCAGUUCACAAAUAUAAUGUAGGCAUGUAUUCCGUAAAUAGUCAUACGUGCUUAUGGAAAGAACUUGCAUGACAUCUUUUGUCCUACCCUCCCGUGGAAGCGAGGUCCUAUUGGAAACUAAGGGAUAUUAAGGCCUCCUUUUAAUAGAGAACCAGAACAAAGCAUUAGCACACGGCGAAAACGUGAACUCCUCAAACUACGGUCAUCAUCGGGAGUGGUCUCGGCUAUUGUCACUCCGGGAUUGCCGGAUCAUAACACGUAGUAGGUGACUAUAACAUGCAAGAUCGGAUCUGGAACAUAGAUAUAAUGGUGAUAAGAUAGACGGUUCAUAUCUGAAAUCAUGGCACCCGGGCCCAAAGUGACAAGCAUUAAGCAUGGCAAAGUCAUAACAACAUCAAUCUUAGAACAUAAUGGACACUAAGGAUCAGGCCCUAACAAAACUAACUUGAUUACAUGAUGAAUCUCAUCCAACUCCUCACCGACCAGCGAGCCUACGAAGGGAUUACUCACUCCUGAUGGGGAGCAUCAUGGAAUUGGCGAUGGAGAAGGGUUGGUGAUGAUCUUUGACCUUGGGACCGAUAGAUAAGAAGGCAAGGCAGAAGAACCAAUUGAAUCGCGGAGAACAGGUAGCUCCGGCAUGUGAACUUGUCGAACCAUUCAACUAUACUGUAUAUCGAUUGGCCACAUCAAUGCAUUUCACCUCGGAACUUGUACUUGGGAAGAUCGAAGAUCCCCCUCUUUGGAGACCCAAAAAGACUCCAGAUCUGGCCUCCCGAUGAAGAACAGGAGACGGCGGCGGCUUUGUCUCGUGAAACAUGAUAAUUCUUUCUCCCUUAUUUUUUUGGAAAAAUAGGAUUUUAUAGCGUCGGUUUCAGGGUUUGCGGGGCCACCAGGUGGGGAAAACCCACCUGGGCGCGCCUGCAGGGGGUGGCGCGCCCUGGUGGGUUGUGCCCACCCAGGUGUCCCCCUCCGGUGGUUCUUGGCUCUAGAAAUUAUCUUUUAUUGUAUAAAAAUCCUCGCAAAUUUCGUUCCAUUCCGAGAACUUUUAUUUCUGCACAAAAACAACACCAUGGUAGUUCUGUUGAAAACAGUGGUAGUCCGGGUUAGUUUCAUUCAAAUCAUGCAAAUUAGAGUCCAAAACAAGAGGAAAAGCGUUAGUAAAAGUAUAUACGAUGGAGACGUAUUAGAAUCCUCCUGAGAUCCCAAGGGAGAAGCUCGCGUGGUUCCGGGUUCUCUGGAGGCACCCAUACUGCGUCUGAACGCCCGAGCGAGAUUUGAUCACCGCUGGUGUGGCAGGUCGCGAUGCCGGAUGUAGCCAGGAGAUGAAAACUUCCCGAGGCCUGGGGCCGAGGACCAUAUUUGCCUAUCGGCUCGCUCAAGAGCAUCACGCGAAGACCCGAACGCUAAAGCCUUGGUGAGACGCGAGUGUGGGUGGACUUGCAGCUGUUGUUGCAACAUCACCGGGUUUGCCCCGUGUGCAACACCGCGCCCAGCCCCCGGUCGCGUGGUGCGAGGGAGUGAACAAUGGGCAAUUGUUACUUCCGAAACAAGAUUGAAGAGGUACAACACCGCAAGAAGCAACAAAUCCUGACCCCCCAUUUGAAUAAAGACGCGGAAAUUUCAACUUCAUUUCAAGAAAUAACAAAUUUUGGUUACAAGAGGAAGCAAAGAACAGCCGCCUCCAGCACCUACGCUAGUCUUCUAGUCUUCCUACCAACGCGAAGCAUGGGGCCUCCACUGGGCGUGGGUGUAGUCGCUGAUUGACCGUGUCAUCCGCUAGCGCGGAGCAUGGGGCCACUUGGGCAUGGGUGGGAGCCCCCGUGAGGACCAGGGGCGGCACUCAGGAGACUCUGGGGGCGUGUAUAGGCCCCCUCAUUAUUACGUGGGAGUGUCACAGGUAGAACUUUCGGAGGUGCUGGAUGUUCCAAACAUUCUGGAUGGGGACCCCGUCCUACGUCUCCAGGCAUACGACGCUAGGCCUGGAGACGUGGGCGAUCCUGAAUGGGCCCUCCCACAUGGGCGAGAGCUUGUGAAGGCCCUCCCUGGAAAGGACCCACCUCAGGACAAGGUCUCCCACCUCGAGGGUUCGGGAGCGGACGCUGCGGCAGUGGUAACGCCGCAGCGCCUGCUGGUACCUCACUGCUCGGAGUGAGGCUUGGCGACGGGCUUCCUCCCCAAGCACGAGAUCUGUUCCCUGCGAGGCAUCCUAAUGGGCCUCGCAGAAUGCCAGGACUAGCAGGGAGCGAUGCCUUACCUUGUGUGGGAGGACCGCCUCGGCCCCUUAGACGAGGAAGAACGAGGUCUCGCGGGUGGGCUUAGUCAUAGUGGUACGGAUGGACCACAACACGGACUGAAGCUCACCGAGCCAACCCCUAUCGCAUGCCUCAAGCUUCUUCUUGAAGCUCCUCGCCUUGAGGCCCCUUAGGACCUCCGCGCUGGCGUGAUCGGACUGGUUAUUGCUCCGUGGAUGAGCCAUGGAAGCGUAGCAUAUCUGCGUUCCAAGGUUAGCACAAUACGUCCUGAAGAGGUUGCUUGUGAAUUGGGAGCCAUUAUCAGUAAUGAUACGGUUGGGGACACCAAAACGUAUCACGAGGCCCUUUAUGAACUUGACGGCUGAGCCAGCAGGGAUGGUGUGUACGGGCUCCACCUCCGCCCACUUAGUGAACUUGUCGAUGGCGACAUAAAGGUAGCGAUAUCCACCGGCUGCUCGAAGGGGAAGGGCCAGGAUAUCCAGCCCCCAGACCGCGUAUGGCAAUGAGAGCGGGAUGGUCUGGAGACCUUGCGCCGACUGAUGAAUUUGCUUGGUGUGGAACUGGUAGGCCUCGCAGGAUCGCACCAACUCGGUGACGUCACUGAGCGCGACCGGCCAGUGGAAACUGAUGCAGAACACCUUGCCCAUGAGGGUGCGCGAUGAUGAGUGAUGCCCGCAGUCCCCGACGUGGAUAUCAGCCAGCAACUCGGGCCCUUGUUCUUCGGAUAUGUGAUACGUCUCCAUCGUAUCUCUAAUUUUUGAUUUUUUCAUGCCAAUAUUAUUCAACUAUUACAUACUUUCGGCAACUUUUUAUAUAAUUUAUUUGGACUAACUUACUUAUCCAGUGCCCAGUGCCAGUUCCUGUUUGUUGCAUGUUUUUGUAUCACAGAAAAUCCAUAUCAAAUGAAGUCCAAACGUGAUGAAACUCUACGGAGAAUUAUUUUGGAAUAUUUGUGAAUUAUAGGAGGUGGAAUCAACGUAAACGGAGGCCCAAGGCCACCAAAACCCACCAGGGCGCGCCACCAGGCCCAGGCGCGCCCUGGUGUACCAUGCCCUCCUUGAACAUCGGUUAGAGCUAUACUUCGGGUGCAAGGAAGCUUAUAUCCAGAAAAAAAUCGUGUAAAAAGAUCAGCGCAAUCGGAGUUACGGAUCUCCGGAAAUUUAAGAAACCGUGAAGGGCCAGAUCUGGGGAGCGCGAAAUAGAAGAGAACAGAGAGGGAGAUCCAAUCUCGAAGGUACUCCCGCCCCUUUGCCGCCAUGGAGACCAUGGACCAUAGGGGGAACGCUCCUCCCAUCUAGGGGGGAGGCCAAGGAAGAAGAAGAAGGAGGGGGGCUCUCUCCCCCUCUCUCCCGGUGGCGCCAGAGUGCCGCCGGGGCUAGGAUCAUGAUGACGAUCUACAUCAACAACCUUGCUACUGUUAACACCAACUUUAUCCCCCUCUAUGCAGUGGUGUAACACCCCUUCUCUCCGCUGUAAUCUCUACUUAAACAUGGUGCUCAACUCCAUAUACUAUUUCCCAAUGAUCUAUGGGUUAAUCGUGAUCUUGGUUGGUAUGAUUGUAUAUUUUAUUUUUGGUGUUGUCCUAUGGUGCCCUCUGUCUCAUGCAAACAUGAGGGGCCCCCGCUAUAGGGUGUUACAAUAUGUUCAUGGUUUGCUUAUUGUCAGUGUUGCGGGGGUGACAACAGCCUAAACGUUGAUAAGUGGGUCAUGGCGUAUGGGAGUAAAGAGGACUUGAUACUUAAUGCUAUGGUUGGGUUUCAUGACCUUAAUGAUCUUUAGUAGUUGCGGAUGCUUGCUAGAGUUCCAAUCAUAAGUGCAUAUUAUCCAAGUAGAGAAAGUAUGUUAGCUCAUGCCUCUCCCUCAUAUAAAAUUACAAGAAUGAUUACCGGUACUUGUUAUCGAUUGCCUAGGGAUAAAUGACUUUCUUGUUGGCAAAAGCAAUCCACUUUUACUACUGCAUUUUAUCCGUAGUUUUAUUCUUGCAAAAUAGUUCCAUACUUGUUCUAGGUAAAGCAAACGUCAAGUGUCCGUAGAGUUGUAUCGGUGGUUGAUAGAACUUGAGGGAAUAUUUGUUCUGCCUUUAGCUCCUCGUUGGGUUCGACACUCUUAUUUAUCGAAGAAGGCUACAAAGGAUCCCCUAUACUUGUGGGUUAUCAAGACCCUUUUUCUGGCGCCGUUGCCAGGGAGCAAUAACGUGGGGGUGAAUAUUCUCGUGUGUGCUUGUUUUCUUUAUCGCUAAGUAGUUUUUAUUUCAUGUUCUAAGUUGUUCUCUAUCUUUAGUUAUGGAUAUGGAACACGAAACACCAAAAAAAUUAGUGGUACUUGCUACUCAUGGAGAUGGGGAACCUCCUAAAACCCUCGAUGCUCGUUAUGUGAAAAAUAUUAUGCACUAUUUUGAUAAUCCGGAGAAAACCCCAUUCAACUAUAUAAUGGGAGUAACAUUGGAUCAACGUGAAUACUUUAGGGAUUAUCGCUUGACACAAAAAGGGAAACUUUUAUGGGAUCAAAUUUAUAUGUUGCAUUGGUAUGCUCGGGAUUUAUGCUUGAGAUAUGAUUUUACUUGUUGCUCUAGGAUGAAUGCUCCACACCUUCCCUUUUCAUGCAAAUUUACUGAUAAUGAAACCUUGGCUUCUUAAGCUAAUGGUAUAUAUGAUUAUUAUGAUGUGGAAUGAAUAGAAGAAUUUGUUGCUUUAAAGGGUGCUUAUGAAAUUGAAUCUUUGUUUUAAAGUAUGAAGCUUUUGAUGAUGAUGUUUAUAGACCUGAAAAUGUUGCUAUCCUUAAAUAUUGCUAUGAUAAUUGCAAAUACAAUUCUGAUAUUGAUGCAUUUAUUGAGAGAGUCUCCUCUGUCCAAGAAGAGACUAAUGUUUUGUAGGAGUCUAUGGAAGAAGGAAUUGAUGACAUUGUGAGCUCAUUGGAUGAAAAAGAUGAUGAGGAGAGCGAAGAACAAAAGGAGGAAGAGCGGAUUAGCUACCCGUGCCUACCUUCUAACGAGAGUAACUCUUCAACUCAUACAUAAUUUAAUGUCCCUUCGUUCUUACCGAAGGAUGAAUGCUAUGAUAAUUGCUAUGAUCCUGUUGAUUCGUUUGAAAUAUCCCUUUUUGAUGAUGCUUGUGGCCAAGAUGCCAAUAUGAACUAUGCUAUUGGAGAUGAACUUGCUAUCGUUCCUUAUGUUAAACAUGAAAUUGUUGCUAUUGCACCCACACAUGAUAGUCCUACUAUAUUUUUGAAUUCUCCAAACUACACUAUAUCGGAGAAGUUUGCUCUUAUUAAGGAUUAUAUUGAUGGGUUGCCUUUUACCGUUGCAUGUGAUAAUUUUGAUGAAUAUAAUAUGCAUUUGGUUGCUGCUCCUACUUGGAAUUAUUAUGAGAGAGGAACUACAUCUCCACCUCUCUAUGUUUCCAACAUGAUAAAUUACAAGAAACUACUUAUGCUAUGUAUUGGCCUUUACUUGAUGUGCAUGAAUUGUUCUUGUAUGACAUGCCGAUGCAUAGGAAGAGAGUUAGACUUUGUCAUUGCUUGAUAUAUGUUGCUUUGUGCUCACUACUAAAUGCCAAAUCAUUGUUAAUUCAAAUUGGCUUUGAUAUACCUUGGGAUCCAGGUGGAUCCAUUACUUGAGCACUUUAUGCCUAGCAUAAUGGCUUUAAAGAAAGUGCUGCCAGGGAGACAACCCGGAAGUUUUAGAUAGUCAUUUAUUUCUGUUGAGUGCUUUUAUAAAGUUUAAAAACAAAAAAAUAUAGAGGGGAACUUAAAACUUUUCAUAAAAGAGAAGCGAUUGAAAGGUGAUGCAUUGCGGAAGUGAGGGUCGACCUUGAACACUUGUGUUCAUGCUCAUGGAAACAAUUUUUCAUGAAGAUUCUCACAAAAAUAAUUACCCCCUGUACAAUUCCAUUGUAUUAUAAAAAUAAUGUGCCAAGAUUUGCCUUUGGGAUGGGUAGAUUGCUUGUUGGUAUGUGCGGUGCAGAAACAGAAACAAUGGCUGUAGCGCACGAUUUUACAUUUCUUACUGGAACGUCAAACAUUUCCAAAACUUUUUUCACAGUCUUGCUAUACAAAUUUUUUAUUUUGUCAUAAUUUUUGGAGUACCAGAAGUAUGGUAUAUGUUCAGAUUACUACAGACUGUCCUGUUUAAGACAAAUUCUGUUUUUGAUGCAUUGUUUUGCUUGUUUUGAUGAAACUAUCGAUUUUAUCAGUGGUAUGAGGCAUGGGAAAGUUAUAUUACAGUAGCUACAAUGCAAAAACAAAAUAUUAUUUGGUUUGCAACAAUACUUAGAGUAGUGAUUUGCUUUAUUAUACUAACGUAUCUUACCGAGCUUUCUAUUGAGUUUUGUGUGGAUGAAGUGAUCAAAGAUCGAGGAGGUCUCAAUAUGAGGAGAAGGAGGAGCGGCAAGAGCUCAACCUUGGGGAUGCCCAAGGCACCCCAAGUAAAUAUUCAAGGAGACUCAAGCAUCUAAGCUUGGGGAUGCCCCGGAAGGCAUCCCAUCUUUCUUCAACAAGUAUCAGUAUGUUUUCAUCUUCGUUUUGUUCAUGUGAUAUGUGUGAAUCUUGGAGUGUCUUUUGUGUUUAUUUUUCAUUUUUCUUUUAUGCAUCAUGCUGGUAUGAUAUAGUCCAUGGUUGAUUUAUAGAAUACUCAUUGCACUUCACUUAUAUCUUUUGGGUAUGGCUUUAUAGAAUGCUUCAUGUGCUUCACUUAUAUCAUCUGAAGUUUGGACUGCCUGUUUCUCUUCACAUAGAAAACCGAUGUUCGUAGAAUGCUCUUUUGCUUCACUUAUAUUUGUUGAGCAUGAUCUUUUGUAGAAAGAAUUAAACUCUCAUGCUUCACUUAUAUCUAUUUAGUGAGACAAAUGAAAUUGGUCAUUUGCAUGGUUAGUCAUAAAAAAUCCUACAUAAAACUUAUGGAUCACUGAAUAUGAUAUGUUUGAUUCCUUGCAAUAGUUUUGCGAUAUAGUGAUGAAAUAUGUGGGAAGUAGUAGUAAAUGGUUGUGGUUAGUAAGAACAUUGGUGUUAAGGUUUGUGAUUCCCGAAGCAUGCACAUAUAGUCUCUCGUUAUGCUGGGAAGUUGUAGCACAAUUUAUCCUUGAUUGUCUAUCUUUGUGUGAAGGUCGGUGUCGGUGUCAAAACCGGCGGAUCUCGGAUAGGGGGUCCCGAACUAUGAGUCUAAGGCUAAUGGUAACAGGAGGCGGGGGACACAAUGUUUACCCAGGUUUGGGCCCUCUCUAUGGAGGUAAUACCCUACUUCCUGCUUGAUUGAUCUUGAUGAAUAUGAGUAUUACAAGAGUUGAUCUACCACGAGAUCUUAAUGGCUAAACCCUAGAAGUCUAGCCUAUGAGAUUAUGAUUGUUGUUGUCUCUACGGACUAAACCCUCCGAUUUAUAUAGACACUGGAGGGGGCUAGGGUUACACAAAGUCAGUUAUAGAGAAAAGGAAUCUACAUAUCCGAAUUGCCAAGCUUGCCUUCCACGCAAAGGGGAGUCCCAUCCGGACACGGGAAGAAGUCUUCUGUCUUGUAUCUUCAUAGCCCAACGGCCUGACCCACGCAUAUAGUCUGGCUGUCCGACGACCCCUUAGUCCAGGACUCCCUCAGUAGCCCCUGAACCAGGUGAUGUCUACUACACAACCUUCUCAUUGUAGACAUGGAUGGUAGAUAUAGGUUUUUGUAAUCUGAAAAUAUAAAAAAUAGUAAGGUAACAAGUGGUAAAAGUGAGCGUACGUAAAUGGUAUUUCAAUGCUAGGAAACAAUGCCUAGGGUUCAUACUUUCACUAGUGCAAGUUCUCUCAACAAUAAUAACAUAACUGGAUCAUAUAACUAUCCCUCAACAUGCAACAAAGAGUCACUCCAAAGUCACUAAUAGCGGAGAACAAACAAAGAGAUUAUUGUAGGGUACGAAACCACCUCAAAGUUAUUCUUUCUGAUCGAUCUAUUCAAGAGUCCGUAGUAAAAUAACACGAAGCUAUUCUUUCCGUUCAAUCUAUCAUAGAGUUCGUACUAGAAUAACACCUUAAGAAACAAAUCAACCAAAACUCUAAUGUCACCUAGAUGCUCCAAUGUCACCUCAAGUAUCCGUGGGCAUGAUUAUACGAUAUGCAUCACACAAUCUCAGAUUCAUCUAUUCAACCAACACAAAGUACUUCAAAGAGUGCCCCAAAGUUUCUACCGGAGAGUCAAGACGAAAACAUGUGCCAACCCCUAUGCAUAAGUUCACAAGGUCACUAAACCUGCAAGUUGAUCACCAAAACAUACAUCAAGUAGAUCACGUGAAUAUCCCAUUGUCACCAUAGAUAAGCACGUGCAAGACAUAUAUCAAGUGUUCUCAAAUCCUUAAAGACUCAACCCGAUAAGAUAACUUCAAAGGGAAAACUCAAUCCAUUACAAGAGAGUAGAGGGGGAGAAACAUCAUAAGAUCCAACUAUAAUAGCAAAGCUUGCGAUACAUCAAGAUCAUGCCAAAUCAAGAACACGAGAGAGAGAGAGAGAGAGAGAGAGAUCAAACACAUAGCUACUGGUACAUACCCUCAGCCCCGAGGGUGAACUACUCCCUCCUCGUUGCCACGUCUUGAGCUUGCGUUGGUUUUCCUUGAAGAGGAAAGGGUGAUGCAGCAAUAGUAGCGUAAGUAUUUCCCUCAGUUUUUGAGAACCAAGGUAUCAAUCCAGUAGGAGGCUCCUCAAAAGUCCCACGCACCUACAUAAACAAACAAAGAACUCGCAACCAACGCAAUAAAGGGGUUGUCAAUCCCUUGACGGCCACUUGCGAAAGUGAGAUCUGACAGAGAUAAUAUGAUAAGAUAAAUAUAUUUUGGUAUUUUAUAAUAUAGAUUGGAAAAGUAAAGAUGCAAAUAAAAGUAGAUUGAAAGCUUAUAUGAUAAAAUAUAGACCCGAGGGUCAUAGGUUUCACUAGUGGCUUCUCUCAAGAUAGAAUAAGUAUUACGGUGGGUGAACAAAUUACUGUUGAGCAAUUGAUAGAAAAGCGAAUAAUUAUGAGAUUAUGUAGGCAUGAUUAUGUAUAUAGGCAUCACGUCCGUGACAAGUAGACCGACUCCUGCCUGCAUCUACUACUAUUACUCCACACAUCGACCGCUACCCACCAUGCAUCUAGAGUAUUAAGUUCAUAAAGAACAGAGUAACGCAUUAAGAAAGAUGACAUGAUGUAGAGGGAUAAACUCAUGAAAUAUGAUAUAAACCCCAUCUUUUUAUCCUCGAUGGCAACAAUACAAUACGUGCCUUGCUGCCCCUGCUAUCACUGGGAAAGGACACCGCAAGAUUGAACCCAAUGCUAAGCACUUCUCCCAUUGCAAGAAAGAUCAAUCUAGUAGGCCAAACCAAACUGAUAAUUCGAAGAGACUUGCAAAGAUAACUUAAUCACACAUAAAAGAAUUCAGAGGAGAUUCAAAUAUUUCUCAUAGAUAAACUUGAUCAUAAACCCACAAUUCAUCGGGUCUCGACUAACACACCGCAAAAAGAGUUACAUCAAAUAGAUCUCCAAGAAGAUCGAGGAGAACAUGGUAUUGAGAUCCAAAAAGAGAGAAGAAGCCAUCUAGCUAAUAACUAUGGACCCGAAGGUCUGUGGUAAACUACUCACAACUCAUCGGAGGGGCUAUGGUGUUGAUGUAGAAGCCCUCUGUGGUCGAUUCCCCCUCCGGCGGAGUGCCGACGACGGCUCCAAGAUGGGAUCUCGCGGAUACAGAAGGUUACGGUGGUGGAAAUAGUUUUUCGUGGUCGCCUCUGAUGUUCUCGGGGUACAUGGGUAUAUAUAGGAGGAAGAAGUAGGUCCGUGGAUGCCUGAGGGGCCCACGAGAUAGGGGGCAUGCCCUGUAGGGGUGUGCGCGCCCUCCACCCUCGUGGCCGCCUCGACUGCUUCUUGACUUGCACUCCAAGUCCUCUGGAUCACGUUCGUUCCAAAAAUCACCCUCCCGAAGGUUUCAUUCCGUUUGGACUCCGUUUGAUAUUCCUUUUCUUCGAAACACUGAAAUAGGCAAAAAAAACAGCAAUACGGGCUGGGCCUCCGGUUAGUAGGUUAGUCCCAAAAAUGAUAUAAAUUUGUAAAGUAAAGCCCAUAAACAUCCAAAACGGGUAAUAUAAUAUCAUGGAACAAUCAAAAAUUAUAGAUAUGUUGGAGACGUAUCAAGCAUCCCCAAGCUUAAUUCCUGCUCGUCCUCGAGUAGGUAAAUGAUAAAAACAGAAUUUUUGAUGUGGAAUGCUACCUAGCAUAAUUCUCAAUGUAAUUUUGUUUAUUGUGGCAUGAUUGUUCAGAUCCAAAUGAUUCAAGAUCAAAGCUAUAAAACAUAAAAAAUAAUAAUGUUUUGAAGCAUACUAACAAAUAACCAUGUCCUAUAAAAUAGCAUAGCCAAAGAAAGCUUAUCCCUACAAAAUCAUAUAGUUAGGCCAUGCUUCAUUUUCAUUACACAAAAUACUCCCAUCAUGGCAACUCCGGUUUCAGCCAAGCAAUUGGUUCAUACUUUUUAACCCGCUUCAGCUUUUUCAACUCUUACGCAAUACAUGAGCGCAAGCCAUGGACAUAGCACUAUGGUGGUAUAUGGUGGUGGUUGUGAGGACAAAAAAGGGAGAAGAUAGUCUCACAUCAACUAGGCGUAUCAACGGGCUAUGGAGAUGCCCAUCAAUACAUAUCAAUGUGAGUGAGUAGGGAUUGCCAUGCAACGGAUGCACUAGAGCUAUAAAUGUACGAAAGCUCAACAAAAGAAACUAAGUGGGUGUGCAUCCAACUCGCUUGCUCACGAAGACCUAGGGCGUUUUGAGGAAGCCCAUCAUUGGAAUAUACAAGCCAAGUUCUAUAAUGAAAAAUUCCCACUUAGUAUAUGAAAGUGACAACAUAUGAGACUCUCUAUCAUGAAGAUCAUGGUGCUAUUUCGAAGCACAAGUGUGGAAAAGAGAUAGUAGCAUUGUCCCUUCUCUCUUUUUCUCUCAUUUUUUAUCUUUUUUCUUUUAUAUAUUUUUUUCUUUUUGGGCCUUCCUUUUUUUUUCUUUUGGCCUUUCUUCUUUUUUUCUUUUUUUUCUUUUGUGGGCUCUUUGGCCUCUUUUUUUUAUAAAGUCCGAAGUCUCAUCCCGACUUGUGGGGGAAUCAUAGUCUCCAUCAUCCUUUCCUCAUUGGGACAAUGCUCUAAUAAUGAAGAUCAUCACACUUUUAUUUACUUACAACUCAUGAUUACAACUCAAUACUUAAAACAAGAUAUGACUCUAUAUGAAUGCCUCCGGCGGUGUACCGGGAUAUGCAAUGAAUCAAGAGUGACAUGUAUGAAAGUUAUGAGGGUGGCCUUGCCACAAAUACAAUGUCGACUACAUGAUCAUGCAAAGAGCAAUAUGACAAUGAUGAAGCGUGUCAUAAUAACGGAACGGUGGGAAGUUGCAUGGCAAUAUAUCUCGGAAUGGCUAUGGAAAUGCCAUAAUAGGUAGGUAUGGUGGCUGUUUUGAGGAAGGUAAAUAAUGGGUGCAUGAUACCGGCGAAAGUUGCAAGGUAUAAUGGAGGCUAGCAAAGUGGAAGGGUGAGUGUGCGUAUAUCCAUGGACUCACAUUAGUCAUAAAGAACUCAUAUACUUAUUGCAAAAGUCUAGUUGCCCUCGAAGCAAAGUACUACUAUGCAUGCUCCUAGGGGAAGGGUUGGUAGGAGUUAACCAUCGCGUGAUCCCGACCUCCACUCAUAAGGAAGAAAUUAAAAGAGCACGUCAUGCAACAAAUUUGUCACACAACUUUCACCAUACGUGGAUGGUACGAGACUUGCCAACUUCAACACAAGUAUUUCUCAAUUUCAUAAUUACCCACUAGCAUGACUCUAACAUUACCACCUCUAUAUCUCAAAACAAUUAUCAAGCAUCAAAUUGAUCCUAGUGUUUUAUACACUUUCUAUGAUAGUUUUUAUUAUACCCAACUUGGAUGCUCAUCAUUAUAGGACCAAAUUUAUAACCAUAGCAAAUACCAUGCUGUUCUAAAAUACUCUAAAAAUAAUAUAAGUGAAGCAUAAGAGAUCAACAAUUUCUUCAAAAUUAAGCCACCGCUGUGCUCUAAAAGAUAUAAGUGAAGCACUAGAGCAAAAACUAUCUAGCUCAAAAGAUAUAAGUGAAGCACAUAGAGUAUUCUAACAAAUUCCAAUCAAGUGUGCUUCUCCCAAAAGGUGUGUACAGCAAGGAUGAUUGUGGAAAACUAAAAAGCAAAGACUAAUAUCAUACAAGACGCUCCAAGCAAAACACAUAUCAUGUGGCGAAUAAAAAUAUAGCUCCAAGUAAAGUUACCGAUAAACGAAGACGAAAGAGGGGAUGCCUUCCGGGGGCAUCCCUAAGCUUAGGCUUUUGGCUAUUAUUGAAUAUCUUGGGGUGCCAUGGGCAUCCCCAAGCUUAGGCUCUUGCCACUCCUUAUUCCAUAGUCCAUCAAAUCUUUACCCAAAACUUGAAAACUUCACAACACAAAACUCAACAGGAAAUCUCAUAAGCUCCGUUAGUGAAAGAAAGCAAAACCACCACAUAAGGUACUGUAAUGAACUCAUUAUUUAUUUAUAUUGGUGUUAAACCUACUUUAUUUCAAGUUAUCUACUGUUCAUAUCACUUAAUACUAGCCAUAGAUGCAUCAAAAUAAGCAAACAACACACGAAAGGCAGAAUCUGUCAAAAACAGAACAAUCUGUAGAAAUCUGUAACCCUCGAAUACUUCUGGAACUCUAAAACUCCUACAAAAAUAGGAAGUCCUGGACAAUUUGUCUAUUGAUCUACAUCAAGAAGAAUCAACGCAAAAUCACGUUUUUGUGAUUUAACAAAAUUAAUUUAGUGCGCGCAAAGUUUCUGUUUUUCAGCAGAAUCAAAUUAACUAUCACCAUAGGUUAUCCUAUAGGUUCAACUUGGCACAAACACUAAUUGAAACAUAAAAACACAUCUAAACAGAAGGUAGAUGCAAAAUUUAUUACUAAACGGAAACAAAAACAAAAAACAC